Molecule: long non-coding RNA, 70104 nt
Filed under: Brassica napus (rape)
Lineage: Eukaryota; Viridiplantae; Streptophyta; Magnoliopsida; Brassicales; Brassicaceae
Description: long non-coding RNA (BNAP_LNC000235)
Source: RNAcentral
AUACACAUCCUUUUCUCUUCGAUCUCUCUCAAUUCACAAGAAGCAAAAUGACGGAUACAGCUAGAACCCAUCACGAUAUCACAAGUCGAGAUCAGUAUCCCCGAGACCGAGACCAGUAUUCUAUGAUCGGUCGAGACCGAGACAAGUAUUCCAUGAUUGGCCGAGACCGAGACCAGUACAACAUGUAUGGUCGAGACUACUCCAAGUCUAGACAGAUUGCUAAGGCUGUUACCGCAGUCACGGCCGGUGGGUCCCUUCUUGUCCUCUCCAGUCUCACCCUUGUCGGAACUGUCAUUGCUCUGACUGUUGCGACUCCUCUGCUUGUUAUCUUUAGUCCAAUCCUUGUCCCUGCUCUCAUCACCGUUGCAUUGCUCAUCACCGGCUUUCUCUCCUCUGGUGGCUUUGGCAUUGCAGCUAUAACCGUCUUCUCUUGGAUCUACAAGUAAGUGGACAUUUAAACAUAUAUUUCAAGUUGUACAAUAUGUUUUAAGAAGCGGUAAUUUAUUAAAUAAAACAUAAUGGUUGAAUAUAGCGACAUGCCUUGUGAGGGGAAAAAAAGUACAAACCAUAAAAUUAUACAUAACCGACAAGUGGAUUUUUAGAUAUUACAUUAAAAUGCCGUUUUACAUCAUCAUUUUGGCUAGCUAUACACAAGACUUGACUUAGCUAGCUUGAUACGUACGUGUAGUAUAUGAUGCAUGCACGUGUGUGUGAAUUGUGAUGAAUAGGUAUGCAACGGGAGAGCACCCACAAGGGUCAGAUAAACUGGACAGUGCAAGGAUGAAGCUGGGAGGCAAAGUUCAGGAUAUGAAGGACAGAGCUCAGUACUAUGGACAACAGCAAACAGGUGGGGAACACGACCGUGACCGUACCCGUGGAACCCAGCACACUACCUAAAUUACGCCAUGACUAUUUUCAUAGUCCAAUAAGGCUGAUGUCGGGAGUCCAGUUUAUGAGCAAUAAGGUGUUUAGAAUUUGAUCAAUGUUUAUAAUAAAAGGGGGAAGAUGAUAUCACAGUCUUUUUUUCUUUUUGGCUUUUGUUAAAUUUGUGUGUUUCUAUUUGUAAACCUUCUGUAUAUGUUGUACUUCUUUCCCUUUUUAAGUGGUAUCGUCUAUAUGGUAAAACGUUAUGUUUGGUCUUUCCUUUUCUCUGUUUAGGAUAAAAAGACUGCAUGUUUUAUCUUUAGUUAUAUUAUGUUGAGUAAAUGAACUUUCAUAGAUCUGGUUCCGUAGAGUAGACUAGCAGCCGAGCUGAGCUGAACUGAACAGCUGGCAAUGUGAACACUGGAUGCAAGAUCAGAUGUGAAGAUCUCUAAUAUGGUGGUGGGAUUGAACAUAUCGUGUCUAUAUUUUUGUUGGCAUUAAGCUCUUAACAUAGAUAUAACUGAUGCAGUCAUUGGUUCAUACACAUAUAUAGUAAGGAAUUACAAUGGCAACCCAAACUUCAAAAACAGUAGGCCACCUGAAUUGCCUUAUCGAAUAAGAGUUUGUUUCCCCCCACUUCAUGGGAUGUAAUACAUGGGAUUUGGGAGUUUGAAUGAACGUUGAGACAUGGCAGAACCCAACAAAUCACUCCAUUGAUCACCUGAAUUGCCUCUGAUCCUAUACCCUUCUUUCACCAUCUCAUCCCUCUUCUCUGACUUGAAUAUGGUCGCCGUUUUGUGGUCAUCAUCCAACGACCUGGUUGCAUACAUCACCAAAUAAAAGCGUUAAGCAUCCAAAUCCAAUGCUAAAUAAUAAUGACGAGAGCAACAUUGUAUUAGAGGAAAAUACAUUGACUCAAGAAAGCUGCCUACCUCAGAAUAAGCUCGUCCCAGUUAUUGAAGCCGGCAUUGAUCAGGUUCUCGAUCGUGAUAACCCUGUGGUUCUCUCUUCGCCCUGUAAGCAGGAUGACUUUGUACCCCAAAUCUUUAACCUUCUCAUAAAGCUUCAAGCUUGGUGCUAUUGCAGGUGCAGCUCCUUUCUCCACCCACUUAUCAAACUUCGUAUGAUCAAAAACUUCCAACCUUCAAAAUUUCCAAAAACAGACAUAGAUUCAUAUCUGAAACAUUUACGGUUAUAUCAUAGAUCCUGUCCUGAAGUUUCCAGACAAGCAAACAAAGUAUAUGACAAAAAAAUACAAUUUUUUUAUUGUAAAGGAAGAAACUUUCAGACAAAACAUUUUACCCACAACCGUGUUCCAAAUAAUAAGGAAGAUUCGACAAGAGAGUCUCGUCAAUAUCGAAGAUCCAAGUAUCCCUCCCAUCGUCCCCGCUAAACCCAAAGCUGCUCGCGUACACGUUAGCCUCUUCCGAGACCCUCUCCAAAUCGACGACGUAGCCUCUACCCAUCAGGUAAUCUUUCACGUAGCCGGCGCAUUCCGCCGGAAUCGUCUUCCACGGCGCGAGAUUGUUCGUCUCCGCCGCGAAUCUCCAGCUCGUGCAAUUCACAUUGACGUUAUCGUCGUCGACGGCGCUCUUGAGCUCGUGUGUGUCGAAGAUCAACGGUCGCGGAAGGACGUACGAGGUGGCGUUUUCGUUUGAAAACGCGAGAGAGAACAAGGACAAGACAAGAAGAAGACUCACAAGCAUCCGCAUCGUGUAAUGCCGGAAACAAAAAGAUGUGAUUUUGAUCAAAUGGGUAUCAAGAAUAUUCAAAAGGGUCUUCAAGAAUCUGAUAAAGUUCCACGAUGGUGAAAGGAAUCAGGACUUAAAGCGAAAUCAGAAGAAAAAUGGAGAGGAGAAGAGUUUCAUUUUCCCAAUCAAGAAGAUAGAAUGGAAUAAAGAAACCCUAGAAACAGCGCGUAGGUACAGAGCUUUUGGAGUCUUGUUUUUUUUUUUGUUGUCAAUGGAGGAGGAAUCUGAGACAGAAAGCUACUGUUUCUUUUUGGGUAAUGAAGACGACAAGAUCCUUUGUUCUCUGUAAUGGCCAUAAAUAAAUAUAGAUAACAAAAAAAAAGGCGUGUGGUUUCGGUUUUUAAUCUGUGACAAUUAAUUAUAAGUUCGGUUUAUCUUUAGAAUCACAAAACAAAAGUUCGCUUCGAAAGAACGGAACAGGAAGAAUACACAGUGGGACGUCUUGCCUUUUAUACACCCAAAAAACGCUACACAGUUUUGGUUUUACUUUAGUCUAGACCUCCACUCCAUGAUGGCUGUGUAAAGAGUAUAGUUGGGCAGAAGGUUCUUGCUAAGUAACGGUGAAUCAGUCAUCGGCGAUGUGUUGUGCUCCUCAAACCACUCCUCUAUCGCACGACGGUCAUAUGUGUAUCCAUCAGCCGCAACGCAUGGCUCGUUCAUUACGUCCUGCAUUGAAUAAACAAGCUCUCACAUUUUAGUAUUCUCAUCUAACCAGUUACUUGACUUGCAAGUAACCAAUGACAUAAAGAACAAGGUUUAUAUAAGAGCUACCUUAAGUAAGGGGCAGAGGAAAUGAAACGGAGGUUGAGUCGGCACACUGGAAAUCGAAUUCCUUGCCUUCUCAGCUACUUUCUUCAGGCUUUCGAGCGCCGGAAGAAUCUGAUCUCUUAAGUCAAGCCUAUCUUUCCCACGUAGGCUCUCAAGCGCCGGAAGAAUCUGAUCUCUUAAGUCAGGCCUAUCUUUCCCACGCAGCUCUGUGCAACAUAGAGCCAAUGAGGUCAGUUCCCUGGUCUCUUCAACUGGCCAGUUACCUGCUUUCUGAUCCAAGAUCUUGAGAAACUCAUCGUUACUAUCCAUUGCACUCUCAACUAAGUGUGUCAAUGCCAUAGGUGGUUUUGCUGUGAGGAGCUGAAGAACUAUCAUUCCAAAUGAAUACACAUCUGAUUUAGAUGAUAUCAUUCCCGUGCGUUGAUACUCUGGAUCCAUGUAACUCAACGUUCCGACAGGGCUUGUUUGUUUGUAAAUAGUGAAUUUAGUUGAUAGAGGGUCGACUUGAACCAUCGUUGAGAGUCCAACGUCUCCGACUUUGCUGACAAAGUUGUGAUCAAGCAAGAUGUUUGCCGGUUUUAGAUCACGGUGAAUGAUCGGUUUAGGUUUCGAUUUGUGGAGGAAGACAAGAGCUGCAGCUACUUCCCAUGCGAUCCUAACCCGCUCAAACCACGGGAGUGGUGGACUGUUGUUGACUUGGAAUAGUCUGUCCUCCAAGCUACCGUUUUCCAUGUACUCAUAAACUAAAGCUCCUUGCUCAGGGCAUGCUCCCAGAAGGAGUACCAAGUGAGGGUGCCGAAUCUUACUCAAGAUUUCGAGCUGCAAAGUAAAAUGAAGCUUCUUAAAAAAAAGAAGUUCCGAAACCGAACCAAAAUUUCAAGCCUAGUUAACCACAUAUAUAGGCGAAUUCCGGUGAGUUAAGCAACCCGGAUUCAAAAUAACCCCACGCACUAAAUAGCCACGCAGAUAUAAGGCCAUUCUUUAGGCUUCAUUUGAAUAUCCGGAGAGAGGGUCUAUCCCUAAACUACAUCUCCUCUUGGAUAACUAGUCCAGACCUUCAAUAGGCCCGGGAUACUCAUAGAUUAAUAAAAAAUAAGUGUUCAAGUCUAGUCCAUACCUCUUGUUGGAACUGUUUGGAGAGACCAUUUUCAGCGGAGUGCAGAACUUUGACAGCUGCGGUUGUAUGAUGCAUAUUACACUUGUAAACAGAUCCAUAAGCUCCCAUUCCAAUCUUCAACUCUUCUGAGAACGAUGAAGUGGCAGCUACAAUUUCUUCCCAAGUGAAGUGCUGAUACUGAAGCCGCGGAGAGCCAAGAGUGUCUUCAAGCUUCUCUUUCUCUUUAGCAUCACGAGCAGCUUUCCUCUCAGCUUCUCUUCUCUGAGCAAUCUCUCUCUCUGCUCUUUCUCUCAUGUUCUCUGCAUCUCUCUUCGCCUUUUCAAAGUUCUGCUUCUCCUUUUCUGCUAAUUCUCGAGCUUCAUACUCCUUUAGCUUUAGCUCUUCAAGCUUUAUGGCUUCUUCUAACCGACGUUGGUUAAGCUCACCAAGCUGAAACGUUGUCAAGAUGCAUUGAAAAAACAAACUAAUAGGUUCAUUGCCAAGUUAUAUAAGACUAUGCGGCCUUUACCUUUCGAGAAGCAUCAAAGGUUUCGGUUUGGGCAGCAGUAUACAUUUCUUGAACAUGUCUAAGCUCAGCUCUCAACUUCUCAACCUCAAAGCUUAGGUUUACCUAAACAAACAACCUUACACUAUUAUUUCAUUUACAAGAAAAUACAAUUUAAAACUCCAUUUUAGUAUACCUGGUUAUCUGUAUAAGAAUGUUCACUUAGAUUAUCAGACAUGUUGGAAGCUUGUUGAGAAGCCCUAGAGUGAGUGGUAUCAAUCACCAUGCCUGUCCAACUAAAUUUACCACCCGCAUUCGCAUAUUCACGGUUGCUAGAUGAAGAACUCAUAGCGUCUUUUCUCUCCUCAUAAUCUCUAAGCCGUGGAGUCCAACGUGAUGUAGUAUCUGUGCUGCUUCUAUUGAUACUCGAAACAUCUUUAGCUUCCUCUGCAUCCAUAGACAUGCACCUGGUGUCAUCCGAGCCAACAGAACUCGUGUCCAUUGGAACUGAUGCUUGUCUACCAAUUGCCGGGACAUGUUGAAAUCUCCUGACCGGAAGGGACAGAGCACGAGAUUGAGAUUGAGAGUCAAGUGCGCUUGAAACUCCAUCUGUUGAUUCUAGAAGAGAAAUGAGGUAUAAAAGUUAGACCUACCCACUAUGUAUGGUAGCAUAUUUAUACAAAAUAGCAAUGUUCAAGAAAUCGCUAGCUAGACGGUAGCUAAGCGUUUUAUAGAAAAUUACUGUUUAGGGAGAUGUCUAGACCGAUUUUUUGAAUGCUUAGAUCGAUUUUUUUAUAAGAUCGUUUCAUUCAGCAACUAGGUGCGGCUUAAACCGAUUUUUAGAACAGUGCAAAAUACAUUGAUGAGUCAUGUACCUGAGUUGGGACCAGAAGAACCACUGGAGGAAUCAGUUCUUUCACUACCAUCAUCUCUUAUAGUUGCAUUGCCGUCUGAGUCUGAUGGCCGGACGCAUGACAAUUUUCCUUUUGAAACAACAUAGACUGUACAAAAGUUCGGCACCAAAGCUGAUAUCGCCGAGCACAUAUCAGCUUUCCUGAAUUUUUCAAAGCAGAUUCAUUGGGACAAGAAACCAAAACAAUAAAAGGUUCAAGGCUAGCAGCUCAUCUGUGUGUAGUGUACCUUGAGAAAAAGCUACGGGAUGAGCCUCCAAUGACAAGUCUCUCUAUUGAAUUCCGAGAAACCACUUCAGCUAUAGCGGCUGCCACAUUAUCUGACUCGAUCACAUGAACUUCUACAGCAACCUUUCUCCGCUCGAACAUUUUCUUAUAAGGUUUAAGAACUUCUUCAGCCUGCCACAGCACUUCCUGUCUAUAUGCAGCUACUACAUCAUCUCGAACCUCGGAUAUAGGGAUUGUAUUUCCCACUUGAGAAUAAGCAACAAAGGAACAUCAGAGUUUUGUCAGUUACAAUAGUCUUUAAGUUUCACAAAUAAACAGAAACAUGAGUCUUAGUUGGAGCUUUACUUGGUGUAGGUACAGAAGUAAUCCUUGGAUGGAUGUGAAGUAGCUUGAAGCCAACAUUGGCUUCAGGAGCAAAUUUUUCAAGCGCCCAUGUAACAACAUUUUUGUUUUUCCUGCUCUCACUAAGAGCCACGAAGACGGUAUGAGAUGGAGGAGGAAAAGUUGGAGGAGGAGGAGGAAGGGCAAGAGUGUCUGGUGAUCUACUCAUAGUCUUUCUUGUUUUCUUCGUUUUGCUUUUACCCUACACACUCAAACCAUUUCAGACACAGCAAAACAAUGUCUUUAAAAGAGAACUUCUUCCUAAAAGUAGAGACAAAACAAGAAACAAAUAGACAUGGCCAGCCCUAAGAUUUAAGGUUCUAUAGGAAUUUUUUAAAAGAUUUCAACUAAAACAAUUUUCGUUAUAAACUUGGAGGCCUAAAAUAUUUUUUCUUAGCACAAUGCUAUUAACCAAGUCGAUCUUCAAGGUAAUAGAUUUGAACCCUUAAUAGUAACUAAAGUGUAAAGCAAGUAACCCAGAAUUUGAAUCUACCUGGUAGGAAGAGACUUAAGUCAAACCCAAGACAGAACAGGAGAGAAGAGGAACGUUAUGCUUCUAUUUCAGAAAAGCAUUUAAUGACAGAAAGAGCAGCCGAAGAAGAAGAAGACCCACGUUCGUGCUGCUAAUCUCAGAUACAAUCAAUGGCUUCUUAUAAUCACAGAAUCUUAUGAAGAUAUCAAAAUUUAUUCGCAAUCAUUUUAGGAUAAAUAAAUUAAAACAAUCAAUCUUAUCUAUCGUAUAUGAUGUAUAAUUAAAUUCUAAGAAAAUGAGACAACUUGCUCGUGUUAUUAUAUCGUCAAAGGAUCACUCCUGGUAUAUACUCUUUUGGUUCUCGACAGAAUUUUCAUUCAUUAUCGUAGUGACAGAAGGGAGUGUGUAAUGAAAGAAUGAAGUAUUCUCUAUUGUUAUUAUUUUAAUCAUGUUUAUCUCCUAACUCCUAUUUAUUCGAUGAUAGUAUUAAUUAAUUAUUACAUUUCUCAACGCUAUUAUUAAAAAACUUACGUUUGCUCUUAGUUGCAGGCAUGACCUUUGCUUUCCUCACGUCUAUAUGUCUCCCCUUUAUAAAAAAUUUAUGUUAUCAGUUUUUUUGUCAACUAUAUUAUCAAUCUUAUAUAAUACAGUAAGAUUUUAGAUUUACGAUUUUGAGUGUUAAUAUUAUUACUAGGAUAAGACAUGCGCCUUGUGCAUGAUAAAUUUAUAUGAAAAUUAUUUAAGAAAUAUCGUAUAGAAAAUAAAAUUUAUAUUAUUGAUCGAAUUAAUAUUUUGGCUCUUAAACAAUUUUUUAAAAACUUUUUUUGCUAAUUACAUAAUUUAUUUACUAAUGAACGGAUCCAAUUUUUAAAAUAUUUUAGGUCAAAAAAUUAUUUAUCGCAUAAAAACCUAACGUUUAGGCCGAAGAAUUUCAUGUCUACUAUUUGGUUACAACGAAACUACGACAGCUCGGUUUUAUAUCAUGAUUUAGCAAUUUAAAAAUUAAUUAUGGUUAUGAUAAGUUUAUGUUCACGUGCCAAUCCGAUCUAUCUUCGAUAUUUUUUUUUGUGUCAUUUUGGUUAUAAAUAUUAAUUUUUAAGUUUAUUCUCAUUUCUUUAUUUUAUUUUGGCUUGAGAUUUAAAAAAUAUUUAAGAUUCAAAAUUAUUAAAGAGAUAUAUACUUAGGUUAUGAUUUGCGUCUUGUGCAGAAUAAAUAUUUUAUAUUUAUUACUUAUUUUAUAUUUUUCUGCAUAUUAUGAAAUAAUAAAAUAAUAAUUAUAUAUUAAAUAACUAAGAAAUCGGUACUAUUAUGUAAUAAAUUGGCUUACACAUAUAAAUCAAAUGACCGCUCUUUUUAUUCGCAAUCAUUUUAGGAUAAAUAAAUUAAAACAAUCAAUCUUAUCUAUCGUAUAUGAUGUAUAAUUAAAUUUAAAUGAUAUGAAGUAUAUAUAUAUAUAUUAACAUAAACACCUAUUAAAAUAAAAUUAUUUAUUUAUAUGAUUUUAUUAUCAUUGUAUCUUAUUAUAGAAAAAAAUUUAAACAUUGAUCACAAAAGUUUAUGUAAGACUUUUAAAAGUUAUAGUAAUUUAUACUUGUUUUAAAAAAUUCAAAAUACAACAUAUACAAAAAAAUAUAAAUUUUUAAUAUAUGAUUAAUGUAAUUGUGUAAUUUAUUUUAAUAAUUAAGAAUUAAACAAAAAUGAUAAAAAAAAAUUACAGAUUAUUAGCAAAUCUUCAUUAUUUAAAAUCAUUAAUUACUAUAUAUAUAUAUCAUAAGCACAUUAGGUAAUUUCGUAGGUUUUAUUUAAGAAAAUAAUAUAUAAUAAAUUUCAAUUUGAUAAAUGAAUGAUCCAUAAUAGACAUACUAUAUAAUAUAAAAUUUCAUAGUAAUUUAAUUUUGGACUAACAAAAUUAAAUUGAUUUUUAAGUCGCCAUGUUAAAAAAUUAACAUUCCAAUUAAGUGACAACUUAGCAUGACAUUUUUUUAAUUAGUACAAACUACAUGUUCUACACUUUUUAAAUGUUUCUCUAUUAAUAUAUAGAGAAUGUUAAACCAUUGAUCAUUAAUUUUUAACAUAAUAAUCUUAACAGUUUAGUAAUUUUGUCAUUUUUUUAAAAUUCAAAAUAUAACAUAUACGAAAAAAUCUAUAUUUUAAUUAUAUGGUUAAUUUGAUUGUUUAAUUUAUUUUAAUAAUAUAAAAUUAAACAAAAACGAUGAAUGAGAUAAAUUGUUAUCAAAUCUUUAUUAUUAGAAUCAUUAAUUGUCAUAUAUAUUAGUGAUAUUUGGUAAUUCCGUAGUUUUUAUUUAAGGAAAAGAAAGAAAAGAGUAAUUAUAUACUUUAAUUAAUUUUAUGAUUAGUUUAAUGAAAAGUAUAAUAUAUACUUAAUUGGACCAACAUAUUUUUUAAAGAUUCUGAAUUUCAUUCUGGUGAAAAUACGUGGUUACAUUUAAAAAUUGUAAUGUUUUUCAAUUAAUAUAUAAGGGAUAACUUAGGUAGAAAAAUAAGGAACUGUGUUUAAUGUGGCACACCUCGCUGUGGUGCGGCCAUAGUGGUACCAAAAUAAAUAAAUAAGGGUAUGUAACUUUCUGUUCUAAAUUGUCAACCUUUUUAACUGGUCGUUUGUUUUACUGCAACAAGAUUUUAUAAUGUUUGCAUCAUUGCAUGUGUUUUGAACAAAUGUCUUUAUCGAAGUUAUAAAAUCCAUCUUCUUGCUUUGGACUUUGGAAACAAGUAAAUCUAGUGAAAGACAACAACAAAAAUUUCCAGUUUCGUUGAUAAGAACAUCUCCAUUGGAAAUAUCUCAAAAUAAGGUUUUCAAUCAAAUUCAAGUAUAUGUAUAUAAAUAUUAAAUUAAAACAUAAAUAUCUCAAAAUCAACCAAAAAGUUUUUCUAUAAAAAAAUUUGGGUUGGAUUUUCCAUAAUUUUAAGAUAUUUAUAUAAUAUUUAUAUUACAUCAAAAUUUGAAAACAUUUUAUGAGAUCCUCAAUAAAGUUGCUCUAAAAGUAUUUUAUUUUGUAGUUUUGCAAAAUGUUUGUUAGUGGUUUAGAAUUUUUAGUUUAGAGUUCUGAACGCUCAAUCUAACCUAUACUAAAAGCAGGAUAUCAAGCCCUCUAAGCGUGUCCACGUCGGAUUAAAAAUUUGGACCAAUCAGAGAGCUUAUAAUUGCCAUGUCACCAUCGCUGAGUUAGACGGACUUUCAUUCGGCCCAUCCACUCACCCAAACUCUGCUCAUUUCAAGCCUUUCGAGUCUCUUCAUCUACGCCGAUCUCUGAGUUUUCUUUGCGUUAUCUUCUAAAUCAAUAAUGAUCUUAAAACUCAUCUUGAAUAUGUUUCGUUCCACCCCCCGAAAAAACAAACUAAUAGGUUAAUUGCCAAGUUAUAUAAGAAAUUAAUUAUUAUUUUCUUUGUUUUGUUUACUCUAUAAAUUUUCCACUCAUUUUCUCUACUUUAAUUUCUUCUCAUUUACUUCAACACCUACCAAUCACACUCUAGAAAAAAUAAUAAGGAAUAAUCACAUUUGUUAGCUAAAUUAGGUAUUUCAAGGAACACCUUGUUUUCGGAAAUUUUCUAGCUCAGCUUUAAGUCUUCAUACACACUGUCCGUUUUUUCAUAGUGACGCCUCUGUAUUUGAGUCCAAAGACUCGAGGCAUCAUUUUUUGUGAGAGGGAAAAAACAAAGAGAUUCAUCAAUGGUUAAUUUGAUCCCGUAUACGACUAGUUUCUAGUGCAUCCAUCUGCAAAACCACACAAGUCUUCAUAGUCUUCUCAAUCCUUACUUGGUUUCUCAGUAGAUCCAUCUAUAAAACCAAAUUUCUUGUGUGCUUUCACGACCAUAUGUAUGCUUGCGUACCAUUCAUCGUAAAUGGGUCCCAUGCAAAACUGGUCGUGAGAUCACUGUUCCAGGAUCGUCACAUGCAAUUAACACUACAAGAAAACACGGAUUUUGUGACUGAUUUUCCCGACUGAUGCUGUAGUCGCUUAUUUUACCAAUUGUUUACCAACUUAUUAACGAACCAGAAAUUUCAGUAGCAAAAUAGUCGCUAAAUAACGACAAAGGAAAUAGUCGCCUUUUAGUCGUAAAUUAACGACUAAAGAGCGACUAAUAUGUAUUCGUUAAAUAGCAGUCGGUAAUCAGUCGGCAAAUUAGCGACUAAUUACCUACUGAAUUAUUUUGGAGCUUAACAUUCACCUUUCAGUCGCUAAUACAGUGACUGAUUACCGACUGAAUAUAUCAGUCGCACUAUCAGUCGGAAAUUAGUAGGAAAACAGUCCGUAAAUAUUAUCCUAAACCUAAAUCUGAUAACCUAAACCCUACAUGUUUUAAACCCUAAACUUUAAAUAUAAACCUUAAAACUCUAAGCAUUUCAACACAAUAAAUCUUAAUCUAAACCCUAAAUGCCAUUUCUUAAAACCCUAUAUCAUAAAUACAAACUCCAAUUAUAUUAUUUAAAAAAUUAAAUACUAAACUUUAAAUCUAAAUCUCAAACAAAAUGUUUUCAAGUUUUAGAUAAGAACUAACGUAGUGGUCAGUACUCCACUAUGGUCAAGCUCUCCACUACGCCCUCGGUCAAGCUCGUUGCUACACCCCAGGUUAAGCUCGUCUACUCCGCCUGCUUUUUCAUCACUUGUCUCGGCUUUUGUCUCAAGGUGCAUAUUCUCGUCACCGGAGAUUAUGAAGCUGAAGAUUACAAGAAGAUUAUUGGAGCUUGGUGUAUUGCGGCGGAGAAAACAAUACAACUAGGUUUAGAUUUACUUUUUGUAAUUAGGUUUAAACUAAUCAACCGGUUUUGAUUUAAACUGGUAUUCUCUUGUUAACCAAAUUUCUUAUUUAUCUGAUUGUACCUGGUUAAAACCACUAACCAUUCCCAAUAUGGGAAAAAAUUAAUAAUUAUAAUUUGUUUUUAAAAAGUUGAUAAUAAUUUUUUUUUUUUUUUUUGCAUUUAGUUGUAAAAACAUUUGUAAAAUCAGUCACUAAUUAGUAGCAAUUCAGUAGCAAAAUUUUGCGACUACGUAGCUACCGAUUUACGACUAGUGGUAUCAGUUGGAAAUCAUACGCAAAUUUGAGACUGAUUUGCGACUGUUUUAUUUAGCGACAAGCUCUAUUACGACCACUGAAAUCAGUUGCUAAACAGUCACUAUUUUCAGUUUAGCGACUGUUAUCCUACCAAAUUUGCUGUCGGGUAAUCCAUUUUUUUGUAGUGUAAAUCAUAAGGAAGUAUUGUUCUCCUUGUUACUUCAACAAGAGAUUUUUACUGUGCUAGAUCCGAAGAUUUGGUAUGUGAAUCAAUGUACAUCAUAAGAAAGAAGAAGACGAUGAAAUAAUCGAGAUCUUGAGGUAAAAAAUAAGAAACAUAGUCUUGGAUCGAAAAACAUGAUAACUUAGGUCAAAGAACAGAUAGUAGUUGUAAAGAGAAAUCUUAUUGAUAUCAAUUGAAGGUUGUUCUUUAUAUUCAAGAGAGCCGCAAUACAACGGUUAAUCUAAAUACCGAACAUAAGUCCUAGGCCCAAUACAUAUCUAUCUUACCACUACAAAGUUACAUGACCGGCUAGAUAUUUCUUGUCUAUAGUAAUAUUCUCCAAUCAACUCAAAUUCCAUCCAAACAAACUCAAAUACCAUAUAAGGCCAACUUUAAAGAAAAGAAACAUAGAUGAGUUUCUUACAAAAAUAUAGUACUAUUUUAAUUUGUUGAUGAUUUAAAUCAGUUGAAUCAUUUUAAUGAUGACAUAUUUGUUAUCUAAGUUUCUAAAAAUUGAUGUAGGUUUUUCAGACUAGAAUCGUCUCUCGAAUAUCUCUUCUUUUUAUGUGUUCUUGUUCAUUUUUUCCUAUAUGUUAUAUUUUGAAUUUUUAAAAACGAAUAUAAAUGAAUAAAGUUGUUAAAAAUCUCACAUUGUAAUUUUUGUGAUCCAUGGGUUAAAAUUUAUGUUAUAACAAUAUACAAAUGAUUACAAAAUAAAAUAAGUAGAAAAUGUCAUUUAAUAAAUAUUAUAUAUAUGUAUAUUAAUAUUUUUUAUAAAUAAAUUAUAUACCAUAUAAAAUACAUAAGUAUUUUAAUUUCGAAUUUGCAUUGAUUUUUUUUAUAAACAUUUUGAAAAAUUAUUAAGAACUUAAUAUUAAGAUUUUAAACUUUGCAUUGAAUGUUUUUAAAAUUAUAAAUUACUAAAACUAUUAAACAUCCCACUAAUUUUUUAUUUUUAUCGUGGAUUUAAAAAAUUUGUUAUAAAUAAAUACAAAUGAUCAAAAAUAAUAUGAGUAUAAAAUAUUUUUUAACAGAUGUCAAUAUUAAAAAUGUACUAUAUAUCUAUGUUAAUAUCAUUUGAACUAAAUUUUAUACCAUAAAAAAAUAGAAAAAAGUGUUUGUCUGGAUUAAUAAAAUUUAUUUAAGUAUUUAUACCAAUUUAAUUAUAUACGUAAUAGUUACUAAAUUUUUAAUUAUUCAAUAUACAUUUAUUAUUUCAUAAUAUGUAAAAAAUAUAUAAUACUUAAAAAUAAUUUAUAUAUAAUAUUCAUUCCGCGUAAGGCGCGGGUCUUAACUUGAUAUGGAGAAACAAACUAAAUUUUCAUAUAUCAUCGCUCUACUUGGGAUCUAACUAAAACUCUCAAAAAUACUCAAAAAAUAAUAAAUUACGUUCGUGUAACCAUCAUGUACUAUAAAAACAUAUUGUACGUUUUCUACAAGUCUACUUCCUAAAUUUUUGGUAUUCGGAUAACAGAAUUUCUUUACAACAAAACUUCAUCACCAAUUAUUUUAUCUACUAAAAUGAACUAGAUGUCUACCUACUUUCCAAGCUCAAACUUUAUGGAUUCCUUAAGAGAAAAUUAUCAAAUGAUAUCAUAUAUUUAUACUAAAUUUAAAAGAAAAAUUAUAUAAGCAUACUAUCCGCGCGUAGCGCGGACACGUAACUAGUGUUAAUAAAUCUCUUUGGACUCUGAUUCUAAAGUUCUUAAAUCUCUAUAUAUAAAGUUAACUUUUAUCUUUUCAUCUGCUAUUUGGUUGAAGAUUUUUGCGACACGUGUCUACGUUUAAAAUUCACAUCUUUAUUUUGUAGGCUUUGUUAUUAUAGCAAAUUUAAAUAUUACAAAGAAAAAAGUAAAAGAUGAGGUCUGUCAGCCCCAACCAAACCUGUAAAAUACAAAGUAAUCCAAACGAACUCAACCGAAAAAAAGCCGAAGAAAGAAAACGGAUGAUGAGGCAACUAAAGACCAUGUAUGCAACAAAGAUGAAGGGGCAAAUGUAACAAUUUUUCAUGGAGGCUCGGUGUACUAACGCAAAAAUGAUAUACAAUGAUCCAAUGAUCAUUUCUGUUUGACCAUUUUGAUAAUGCAAAAAAACUGAUUUAUUUUUUAUUUUAGUCACAUAUCAAAGAAACUUAAAACUAUAAAUUAAAUGCUAAGUUGAUGAACUUAGACACCAAAUGAUAUCUCAAAUUCUCAAAUGUUUGUAAACUAGUAAAUUAUAAGCAUAUCAGAUAUUUAUUUAAGCUAAUACUUUUUAUAAAUAAUAUGUUAAUAGUGUUCAGUGUUGUGAGUAUUAUAGCACAAAAUCUGCUGAAGUCUUCUACAUUUGUAACAAAAUGGUAUGAUAAAUGUUCAGCUUGAAAGUUGUUUAUGCAAAACUUACCAAAAUUGUGCCUCUACUGAAAAUGGUUUUAGGUUUUAAUGGCUACGAAUAUGAAUCCGUUAGCUUACUCUUUUUUUUUUUUUUGCUUUUAGCUACUGUAAUAGAAAAAUAAUUAAAAAUGUAAAACAAAAAAUUCCGGUAAUAGCCUAGGAAAACCCCUAAUCCCCUAUAUAUUAUUGGGGUUUUUGCUAAAACUAACUCACAACUUGAUUUUAAUCCCAAACCUAUACCCAAACUUGAAUCAAAUGCAAAACUAACCUAAAAGCCUAGUGAAAUUACAGUUCAACCCCUUGUGACCAAACAAAAAAACAGAAGCCAUUUUUACGAAUAUAGCCCCAGUAAAUCGUCUGAGUCGUCUGAGAUGUUGGAAGUCGUCUGGACGACUGAAGUGUAAGUCGUCUGGUACCAGUUUAUUUUAAAAAUAAUUUAUAAAUCUUGUAAAAAAAUAUUUUGAUGCGUAAAAAAUAAAAAUCAAGUAAUUAUAAACAGUUUUAACUGAUAUAAAUUAAGAUAUGAUAAAAUUGAUUUGUUUUGAAGAUAGAUGAGUGGAAGUAGUGAAUCAUGAAAUACUUUAGUUUAAGAGUUUGGCAAACAUAUGUUGUAGUAUUGUAUGUAUUGUUAGGGUUAGAUUUUGGAAAACUAAAAUAUUUUUUUCAAAAAUUAGUUUUCACCUAUAUGUGUUUAUUUCUGUGUAUAGUAAACACUUUUCAAGUUUGAUUUGGUUUUAUGAAGUGUUUAAUUAGAUAAUUAAGUUUAGGGGUUAUGUUUAGGGUGUGGACGACUUAUAUUUCAGUCGUCUGUUGAAUAAUUUACCCGGACGACGUAUAUUUCAGUCGUCCACAUCGUACCGAAUCUUUAAUUUUACCAAUGUACGUUUUAACCUAACCGGAUCAUUUUACUCGGACGACUUACAUUUCAGUCGUCUGGUGAAGAAAUUAAAACAGACGACUUACAUGUAAGUCGUCCAGAAGAGUUUAAUAUUUUUAGCGGAAAAUUAAAUAUUUUUAGCGGGAAACUAAAAUAGAAGACUUUCCAGACGACUUACAAGCGGGAAAAUAAUUUUUAAAAAAAAAUUUAGGCGGGAAUAUUUGGACGACUUACAUGUAAGUCGUCUGUUUUAAUUUCUUCACCAGACGACUGAAAUGUAAGUCGUCCAGNNNNNNNNNNNNNNNNNNNNNNNNNNNNNNNNNNNNNNNNNNNNNNNNNNNNNNNNNNNNNNNNNNNNNNNNNNNNNNNNNNNNNNNNNNNNNNNNNNNNNNNNNNNNNNNNNNNNNNNNNNNNNNNNNNNNNNNNNNNNNNNNNNNNNNNNNNNNNNNNNNNNNNNNNNNNNNNNNNNNNNNNNNNNNNNNNNNNNNNNNNNNNNNNNNNNNNNNNNNNNNNNNNNNNNNNNNNNNNNNNNNNNNNNNNNNNNNNNNNNNNNNNNNNNNNNNNNNNNNNNNNNNNNNNNNNNNNNNNNNNNNNNNNNNNNNNNNNNNNNNNNNNNNNNNNNNNNNNNNNNNNNNNNNNNNNNNNNNNNNNNNNNNNNNNNNNNNNNNNNNNNNNNNNNNNNNNNNNNNNNNNNNNNNNNNNNNNNNNNNNNNNNNNNNNNNNNNNNNNNNNNNNNNNNNNNNNNNNNNNNNNNNNNNNNNNNNNNNNNNNNNNNNNNNNNNNNNNNNNNNNNNNNNNNNNNNNNNNNNNNNNNNNNNNNNNNNNNNNNNNNNNNNNNNNNNNNNNNNNNNNNNNNNNNNNNNNNNNNNNNNNNNNNNNNNNNNNNNNNNNNNNNNNNNNNNNNNNNNNNNNNNNNNNNNNNNNNNNNNNNNNNNNNNNNNNNNNNNNNNNNNNNNNNNNNNNNNNNNNNNNNNNNNNNNNNNNNNNNNNNNNNNNNNNNNNNNNNNNNNNNNNNNNNNNNNNNNNNNNNNNNNNNNNNNNNNNNNNNNNNNNNNNNNNNNNNNNNNNNNNNNNNNNNNNNNNNNNNNNNNNNNNNNNNNNNNNNNNNNNNNNNNNNNNNNNNNNNNNNNNNNNNNNNNNNNNNNNNNNNNNNNNNNNNNNNNNNNNNNNNNNNNNNNNNNNNNNNNNNNNNNNNNNNNNNNNNNNNNNNNNNNNNNNNNNNNNNNNNNNNNNNNNNNNNNNNNNNNNNNNNNNNNNNNNNNNNNNNNNNNNNNNNNNNNNNNNNNNNNNNNNNNNNNNNNNNNNNNNNNNNNNNNNNNNNNNNNNNNNNNNNNNNNNNNNNNNNNNNNNNNNNNNNNNNNNNNNNNNNNNNNNNNNNNNNNNNNNNNNNNNNNNNNNNNNNNNNNNNNNNNNNNNNNNNNNNNNNNNNNNNNNNNNNNNNNNNNNNNNNNNNNNNNNNNNNNNNNNNNNNNNNNNNNNNNNNNNNNNNNNNNNNNNNNNNNNNNNNNNNNNNNNNNNNNNNNNNNNNNNNNNNNNNNNNNNNNNNNNNNNNNNNNNNNNNNNNNNNNNNNNNNNNNNNNNNNNNNNNNNNNNNNNNNNNNNNNNNNNNNNNNNNNNNNNNNNNNNNNNNNNNNNNNNNNNNNNNNNNNNNNNNNNNNNNNNNNNNNNNNNNNNNNNNNNNNNNNNNNNNNNNNNNNNNNNNNNNNNNNNNNNNNNNNNNNNNNNNNNNNNNNNNNNNNNNNNNNNNNNNNNNNNNNNNNNNNNNNNNNNNNNNNNNNNNNNNNNNNNNNNNNNNNNNNNNNNNNNNNNNNNNNNNNNNNNNNNNNNNNNNNNNNNNNNNNNNNNNNNNNNNNNNNNNNNNNNNNNNNNNNNNNNNNNNNNNNNNNNNNNNNNNNNNNNNNNNNNNNNNNNNNNNNNNNNNNNNNNNNNNNNNNNNNNNNNNNNNNNNNNNNNNNNNNNNNNNNNNNNNNNNNNNNNNNNNNNNNNNNNNNNNNNNNNNNNNNNNNNNNNNNNNNNNNNNNNNNNNNNNNNNNNNNNNNNNNNNNNNNNNNNNNNNNNNNNNNNNNNNNNNNNNNNNNNNNNNNNNNNNNNNNNNNNNNNNNNNNNNNNNNNNNNNNNNNNNNNNNNNNNNNNNNNNNNNNNNNNNNNNNNNNNNNNNNNNNNNNNNNNNNNNNNNNNNNNNNNNNNNNNNNNNNNNNNNNNNNNNNNNNNNNNNNNNNNNNNNNNNNNNNNNNNNNNNNNNNNNNNNNNNNNNNNNNNNNNNNNNNNNNNNNNNNNAAGAUUUGAUAAAAAAUAGUGUAUCUUCUAUCAUAUUUGUUUAAUUUUAAGCUAUUAAAAUAAAUUAAACAAUCAUAGUAACCAUGUAAUAAAAAAAUAUUUAUAUAUUAUAUUUUUUUAUGUUUUAAAAACGAGUAUAAAUUACUAAAACUGUUAAAAGUUUCACAUUCAAAUUUUGUGAUCUAUGAUUUAAAAUUUUUGUUAUGACAUGAUACAAAUAAUUAAAAAAUAAUAUAAGUUGAAAGUUUCAUUUAAUAUGUAUCAAAAACAAAAGAUAUAUAAAUAUAUGUAUCAUAUGAAAUUAAAUUAUAUGUCAUAUAAAAAUACAUAAAUAUCUUAAUUUUGAAAUUUACUUUGAACAUUUUUUUGAUAAAAAAUUUGAAAAAAUAUUGACAACUUAAUUUUUUAAAAUAUUAUAAAUUACUUAAACCAUUAAUCCCACAAUGAAAAUUUUGUUAUCACUAAUUUAGAUUUUUUUCUAUAACAUAUACAAAUGAUAAAAAAUAUGAGCAAAAAACAUCAUCUAAUAAAUAUUAAUACUAAAUUAUACCAUAUAUAUGUUACUAUCAUUUAAAUUUAAAUAUAUCAUAUCAAAUAGAAAAAAUAUUUUUUCGAUUUAUAAAAUUUAUUUAUAUGUUCGCACUAAUUUAAUUAUAUAAGUAUUACAUAAUGACUUUUUAAUUAUUCAAUAUAUAUUUAUUAUUUCAUGAUAUGUUAUAAACAUAUAAUAUAUAAAAUAAUUUAUACAUAUAAUGUUCAUUCCGCGCAAGGCGCAGAUCUUAACCUAGUUUUUAUAUAUAUAAUACAAUCAGUGAGAGAAAGUAACUAGGAAAUUAUGCCUCAUAUAUAUCUUUCAUUCUAUCACGGGGCUGCAAACCCCAACACGUUUUUAUGAAGCUGGAGAAUUAAUAUUUUGUAUGCUAACUUCUUAAUGAAUCAUUAGGAUUUCUCUUAUCUAAUAUUUUAAUAAAGAUAUAUGUUUGUUGUAUAUAACUAGGCGUUGCAAAACCUAGUAACUCAGUGCACGUUUGCAAGCAAUCUGAACCCUUUGCAAGUUCUAAGAGAUUACAAAAUAAGCCUCUUCCUAGGAAACAUAUAUUUAUCAAAUACGGGAACUUAUAUACACCCCUCUCCAUUAUCCAACAGGUGGUUUUAGUUGUCGACCUUUCCUAACAAAAAAUAAUAAUUAAUUUCGACAUUUCGUGCUAAUGCAGAUGCACAACUCUGAGCUUCUCCAAAAAAAAAAAUUAGAGGAUAAAAUCUAGUAAAAGAAUGAUAAAUGGUAAAAAGUCAUCAUGGUUUUUGACAAAAAUUCUCCUUUAAUUUAUUAAAAAAAAAAUUGAGAAAUUCCUAAGAAUCUCAUCAAUAAUGGUCUAAUGUAUAGUGGUGCUGGGUUCAUAAUAGGCUGUUUAAAUUUUAACCGGUAGAUUGGUUUUCACAAGUACUUCAAUUUUUGUUUUUAUUUUGUUUAAUACGAACUUGUGACAAAAAAAAAAAAAAAUUUUGUUUAAUACGAACACAAUAAAUGGUGAUCUGCGGCUCUGCGCUCUCAUGAGUCAUGGCACAAUAACUUGCAUAUAGUCAAAUGAUGAAAUGAAUUUAAAUAUUCCCUAGGUACUCAUCAGAUGUUCGAAUAUUCUAGUCAAUUCAUUGGAUAUUUGUUUUCCAUAGUAUUGUUUAAUUAUUAAUUAAUAUAUAACUUUAAGUUACACAUUGUUGGAUAUAAUUUAUUUAUAGUACUCUUGUAAUUAUUAAUAUAGUAAUCAGCAAUGAAAAGCCUAGACUUAACAUAUUUUACUUUAGAUUGGUCUAUUUUGUUAACCGAUUUGGUUAAAACGGAAAUGUCCGUGUGGUUUCGGCCAACCUAAACAACCAAAGUUUAUAAAAUACAGCCGGUGACUUGGCCAUAAAUGAUUUUUACGGGUGUCAUAUUAUAUUUAGUUAAGAAAAUAAAAAAUGAAUAAAAAAAUAUUAUCAUUAAUUAACAUUAUGUACUUUACAUUAUUCAAAUAAAAAAAAUUAUUAUUAAUUUAACUUUUAAGCUAUUUUUAAUUUUAUAUAUGCAUUAUUAGUUUUAUAAUAUAGUGUAUUUAAAAUACUAUUUUUGAUGGAAUUGCAAAACUGAAAUUUUUAAUGUAGUAUAAGUUUUUCCAAUUAUUUUUUUCUUUAAAAUAAGAAAUUACUAAUACUUUGAUUAAAAUUAAUUCUAAAGUUAUAAAGGAAUAAAAUCAAAAGGGUAUAAUUUUUAAUCUAAAUUCCUGAAUUGAACUUGAUUUCAAUGAACACAAAUUAAUAUUCUAUAUACAUAAAAAGGAAGAAAAUAAAAUAUAAACUAAUUACAGAAAUAAUUGUGCUUGUUUAAUUUUAAGGGUUUAUUUUUUUUAAUUAUAUAUUAUUAAAUUAUAGACUAAUAUAUUAUAGUUUUUUGUUGAUUUGUAGUUAGACUAAAUUUAAUAGGGUUCAAGAAUGUUUUGGGUUGGAGUCAAUAUAACAUAUUUGAUGAUAAUUAAACAAGUUUUCCAAAUUUAUGGGGUACUGACCCUCCUCCGCCCUUAUUAAUACAGCUUAACAACAGUUACUAAAUGUGGAAAAGGAAUCAACACAUGGCCUUUUAAUCUUCUCUUCAAACAAAAAUUCAAGAAAAAGAGAUUUUGAAAUGAUUUUUGUAUUCGAUCAACUUGUUUAUUCAUCGUACCAAGAUGGCCUUGUUACAUCUUUCUAUGACCGGUUAAAAAUAAUUGAUUCAGUGAAUGGUACCAAACAAUUCAAACUUUAUUUUCCGGAUAAGUGCACAUGCAGUUUUGCUGGGACAUUUGCUAAAACCAACCCAAAUAUUCAAGUCAAAUGUAAAAGUGUACCCCACUUUCAGUCAAAUGCAAAACCAACCUAAAGGAGUAGUGAAAGUACUAUUUCACCCUUAUGACCAAACAAAAAACAUAAAUGUAUUUUACGUUUCUAUCCUUUGGAAGUCUACACGUAAUAAAAGAAGUCUACAUAUAUAUAGACUUCCUACGAAGUCUACUUUAUAGACUUGUUUUGUAGUCUACACUCUAAUUUGGUCUACUAAUUUAAUUUUGAAAAUGUAUAAAAAUAAUUAUUGUGAUAUUUUUAAUUAAUCAUCAAUAUAAUGGAUAAUAUGAAGUAAAUAAAUUAAAAUUUCAUAUAAUCGAACAAUUUUGAAGAAUAUAUACUAAUUUGGUUAUCAUGUGCUAGACUAUGUUCAUAGUUUAGAAACAAAAGGUUCUAACAUGUUAUGUCUUUUAGUAGUUGAUUUCAUAGGGUUAGAUUUUAGAUUUUGUUUUUUUUUUGUUUUAUUAACUUAAAUCUGCAUAUUAAUGUUUAGUAGUUUAUAUUUUGUAUAAAUGAGACUUUUUGAUUAUCAAGCAAAACAUUUAGGGUUUGAUAUUUGUGGUUUAGGGUUUCGUAGACCUACAAUAAAGUCUAUUUAUCUGAAGACGUCUUUUUCAGUCUAUAUUUUUCAAUUUGUUUUACAAAAAAUCAUUAUAUUUAAACUAAGUUAAGUUCCUUAAGAAUAAAAAAGUGAAAUCAUAUACUAUAACUAUUAAAAAAUAAAGAAAUAAAUUUAAUAAAUCAUAUAUUAAAAUUAUUAAAAUAAUAAAGAAUAAACAACAAUAAUUAAAUUAUUAUAGUAGACUUCCAAAAAGGUCUACUAUGUUAUAGUAAGAUCUACUCCAAAAUUUUAAUUUUAGUAGACUUCAAACGAAGUCUACAGUAUCGUAAAUUUUAACCUAGUUACAUUUUUGUCUCCCUAUAUAAACAAAAUUUAUUCAAUCUCUCUCUAAAGUGGCUGCACAAGUUCUUAAAACUCUCUCCCUUCUCUCUAAAACUUUCUCUCUUCUCUCUAAAAUUCUCUCAAUUGUUUCUAAAUCUCUCUCAUUAUCUUCUUUCUCUCUAAAAUUUUCUCAAGUCUUUCUCACAAUAUUAUCUUGUCAUUUUAGAUAUUAUGAUUCAUGGUUUUCAUCUUCUCCUUUAAAAAAUGUAAGUUUUAGAUCUAUAGAUUUUAAAUGUGUAUUUUAUGUUUAUUUCUCACAAUAUUAUCUUUUUUUGGUAGGUAUUAUCACUCAUGGAUUUCAUCAUCUCCUCUAAAAAUGUAAGUUUUAGAUUAAUAGAUUUUAAAUAUGUAUUUACAUGUUUAUAUUCAAAUAAAUUUAUAGAUCAAGCUCUCUACAUUAAUUUGCUACUAGUUUACCUUAUAAAUUAUAUUAUGUAAAGUAUUUUCAGAUUUAAAAUUAUUUUCACAUUUCAAAAUAUAUAGAUUUUUUCAGAUCUGAAAAUUAUCAGACAGUGUAGACUUCUAAAGAAGUUUACUAAAGCUUGCAGACUUCAUAUGAAGUUUACUAAACCAUAAAGUUUAAGCAGACUUCAUUGGAAGUCUACAAAAAUAUGACUUUAAUUUUUUUUCUAUGUUUUUUAAUAAUUUUAUCUUAUUUUGCAGGUAUUUUCUUCCAUAGUUGUUCUCUUCUCCUCCUAGAAAUGUAAGGUUUACAUCUAUAGAUUUAAAAUAUGUGUUCUAGUAUUUAUAUUCAAAUAAAGUUACAUAUUAAAAUUCAUAUUAAUAUGUCUUUAAUUUAUAACUAUUUUGUCUAUUAAAUCAUAUUUUUAAAAGUUUUUUAGAUUUAAACUUAUUUCAUAUUUUUAAUGUAUUAUUUUUCAGAUCUAUUUUUUUUGAUAGAGUAGACUUCAUUUGAAAUCUACUUAAAACUUACGGCUGGUAGACUUCAAAUGAAGUCUACUAGCCUUGAAUUUUAAGCAAAUUUCAUUAGAAGUUUACUCAAAUAUGAUUUUAAUUUUUAUCUUAUUUUUUAAAAUUUUAUUUUAUUUUGCAGGUAUUCUCUUCCAAUAUUUUCAAAUCAUCUUCCCAAAAAUGUAAGCUUUCCAUAUAUUCAUUAUAAGAUAUUUUGUGUUUAUAAUGAACUAAAUUUAUAGAUUCAUACAUUAUCUUUUUGCUUUGUUACAAGGAUGACAAAAAACCAUUUUUGAAAUAUUUUCCAGAACAAAGUAUUUUCAAAUUUUCUAAAUGCACACUUUUAAAUAUGAAAAUUUUCCAUUAGUGUAGACUUCAACUAAAGUCUACUAAACAAUAACUUUACGUAGACUUAAUAAAAAGUCUACUAAAAUAUGAUUUUAUUUUUUAUCUUAUGUUUUUCUCAUAACUCUAUCUUAUUUGGCAGGUACUUUUUCCAAGACUUUAUUUGAAGCAUCAAGAUUAUGAAAAAUCAAACAUACUCAAGAAUACUUUUUAAUAUAUUGCUCUGUAAUAACUUUCAUAAUAAAAUAUUAAUUUUUAAAUAAUUUUUUAAUGCAUAAUCUAUAAACAUUGUAUUCAUUUUUAGUUGUUUUCACUUGUAUGAUAUUAUUAAUUUUUUGUUAGAUAUCAAUUUUUUCACAAGAUCUAACCAACCAAACAAGUAAAACCACCAUAAGCUAAAAUAAUAACUAACACACAUGUGAGAAGAAGAAAAUCUAUACAAAAUUUUCCCAAAAAUUUUCAAGAAUAAUACUAAUCAAAACAAUUUGCAAUAAGUAUCAAGUGUAUAAUUAUAACACAUUAAAUUGUGAAAUUCAUCCAAGACCAUUAAAAUUUUACUAACAUACACUGUAAAAUAAUUAAAUCAUGAAAAAAUAUGAUGAAUAAUACACAAAUACACUUUUAAUAGAAUUUACGACGUAGACUUCAACUGCAGUCUACAUUUGUAGAUUUACAAAAACGUCUACACUUAUUAUUUAACAUAUAGUCAAUCCAAAUUUUUUUAGUGUAUUGGCGCAGGCUUGAUACACAAAGGCGUACAAAGUGUGUCUUAGAUAACUCGAUCAAGUUCCGUACUUGUCGAUUAUUCGUGACAGGCAUAAGAGGAGUAUAUUCCUAUUCGGAGUCAUUUGUUUUAAAUGAUGUUUGGUAAGGAAUAGGUUAGCACCAUCUUCUCAAUUUUGUUGUCCAGAUCAUAAUCUUCUUGUGUCAUUUCAAGAAGUUUACCAUGUGUACAGCCAUCAUGCACAAGGAACAUUCUUCAACCUUUCCGAUUCUUCAUCUUUUUCGAAUAUUUUGUCACCCAAAAUGUCUUUGGCCCAUACUUCACACUCGCUCUAAGUUUCCAACCACAUCCUUGAACACGACACUUAGCCACAUACAGAGUUUUUGUUGUCUUAUAUGCUGAAAAUGUAAAAUUAUAUUCCACAGUCACCGACUUCAGCUUUGAAACAAGCUCAGCCUUACUAGCAAAACUAUAAACGAAGACUUAGAAAUACGUCUACAAUUAUUAGCUAACAACAUUGUCAAAUCAAAUGAAUUAUACCUUCAUAAUUAUAAAAAAAAAAUUAUUUUCAAAAUCACUCAAACCCAUUAGGAUUAACUAACACACACUGUCAAACAAAAAAACUAGAAAAAAUUUAAUGAAUAAUACACAAAUUCACAUUUUUAUAGAUUUUUCUAUGAAGACUUAAUAUUUAGUCUCUGAAGAUGUUGACGUUCUUUUCAGUUUACAGACGUAGACUGUCAAAUAGGUCUACUCUUUGGGUUGGUUUUUGCAAUUGACCAUUUUACGGGUUGCUUUCUAUAGUUGAAUAAAAGUUGUAAUUUUGUACAUGUAGACUUUCAUUUCAGUCUACAAUUUAAAAAGGUUACUUUUUGCAAUUGACCAGAAUUCAUCCAAGAUUUGACUUUCAGAACUAGACUUCAUAUGCAGUCUACAUGUUUGAAUUUUUUUGAAAGAGGUUAGUUUUGCAAUUGACCAAGUUUGACUUCAAAUCAGUAGAUUAAAAUGAACGUCUACGGGUGUGUAGACUUCUUGUGAAGUCUACUCUCAAAUCCGACGGGUUGGUUUUGCAUUUGACCAAAAUAAAAAAGUAGACUUUAUACGCAGUCUACAUUUUUUUUUUUAAGAUAAGAAGACUGCAUAUGAAGUCUACAAUUUAAUAAAUUUUUGAUUGCUUUUUAAACUUUUUGGUCAAACACAAAACUAACCUAUUCCACGAAGUCAAAGUUUUGGUCAAAUGCAAAACUGACCUUUUAUAGACUUUGUUGGCAGUCUACAUUUUGUAGACUUCCGUUGAAGUCUAUUUUGAAAAGUCAAAAGUUCGGUCAAAUGAAAAACUAACCUCUUUUAGGUAGACGUCUUAGUAAGUCUACCGAAAGUUUUAUUUUUGUUGUCAAAGGUAAAGACGGAGACUACUGGGGAAGUCUGCGUUAGAAAAAAAAUUUGUCUGCUCAAUUGCAAAACUAACCCGUGCGUUGACAAAUAGACUGCAUCGUAAGUCUCCACGGAGGCGUAGACAUACAAAACAGUCUACCGUCGCGACACAGAUCUGAAAAAGAACGAAAACCAUGUAAAUAGUUACAUUUUUCAUGUGUAAAGCUUGUUUCCAACCUUUUCAACCGUCCAAACUCCAAAUAUGAGCAAAAAGAAGCAUCUUUAACGAUUCACUAAUGAAGAAACUCGAAAAUAUGAAGUUUGUGAUUAUGAAAAUGAUAGUUAUGAGAGUUUUUUAGAUGGAAAUGUAGAGGAGAUGAGAGAAAAUGAAGUUUUUUGGGUUAUAAUGAGAAAAAAGUGGUUGAAAAUUGAAUUCUAGAGCUUUAGAGCUCAAAAAUGGUGGUUCAUGGUGGUUGGAAAAAUUGAUGAUGAUGGCAUUUUUGUAAAUAAGAAGAAAUGGUUAGGGUGUAUUUGAUUUUUUGUUAAUUUCGAAAUUAAUAAAAAAAUAAAUAAAAAUGGCAAUUUUGUGAAUAAUUUAAAAACAUAAGGAUAGUAUGGAAAUUUUAUUGAUGAAUAGUAUGGACAAAAAAAAAAGGGUUGGUUUUGGAUUUGACUUGAAAAUAUGGGUUGGUUUUGAAAAACACCCAGUUUUGCUGGGAAUAAUGACAAGAAGUUGCUAAGGUAUUUAUAUAUGCUAGUGCGAAGGAAAAUGACACUCAUGCAAGCAUUCGUCACCAUAAAUUAGAUAGUAAAAGCAUGGUAACCCGGAAAUUGAGUGGAUGAGGCCCACACGCUAUCGCUCUUUUUCUUUGUUUCGUUAACAUUUAGACAUUUACCCACUUUAUUAAGCAACUCUUUUUAAAACCAUUUUAUUAAAAAUAAGUAAAGCAACAAAUUAUCCUAUCAAUUUUUUUAAAAAAAACUCAAAAAGGCAAAUAUACUAAAAACUCGAAUCACACUUCUAAUACAUAUAAAAUGGGUAUACAUUUUUGAAAAAUAUAUAAAUUAUACUUUCGACUUAUAAAUUCUCCAGAUAUAUUUUUAACGCUGGAUAAUUAUGCUAUUACAAACAAUGAAAAAUAUUAAGAUAUUAAUUCUCUAAAUAUUUAGAGAAUUUUGAAGAAAAUUUCAAUUUAAAACUAGCAUUUCUUACCAAAAACAUUAAAUUGAAGACACAAAGAAACAAUCCUCUUUGUAUUUUUUUUUUUGAACUAUACAUGGUAUCCUGAUCCCACAGAAGUGAUCCAGGCUAGUCACGUGUUACCAUGUGUCGGUCUUCUAUCCUUAGUGAUAUUGAAAUGUUAAUUCUCUAAUGGCAAUGGCUGGGACUCGAACGCGGAUGACUUCAACGUAAAAAAUAGGAGCCCAUCUUUUAUUUUAUUAAAUCAUCACAUCUUUUGAUUUUUCUUCCAUCGAUCAUAUCAUCGAAUCCGUGCCAAAACUCAAACUUAAGAAUAUGAUCCAAAGGAGACCAUUUAAAGAAGAUUUCUGGAUCACAUUUACACGACGUAUUCCGAUUGAAAUGUUGUUUAUAUUACAGAUAUAGAUAUAACGAUAUCUCUUGUAUAUUUGGUUUAGUUAUGUUAAACUCUCGACUCUGAUUUUGUGAUAUUAAAUCGGUUAUUCAUUUAGUAGUUAAUCCAAAUUCUCAUGAGGAAUUAAGCAUGUUAAGGAAAACUGUUAGUCUAUACGACAUCAGAUUAUCAACGGUACUAUACAAACUCAUCAUAUUACAAAAGCACUUGAACUCGAACGCAGAUAGUUUUGACUUAGCUUUUUUCAAGUGGAUGUUAAUCUUCACUUUCCAAUUUAAAAAUCGGUAUUACAGAUAUAUAUAUAUAUAUACGAACCUACUACCACUGAAGUUAAAAGAUAAAUAUUUUUCUAUAUAAACUAAGUUAAGUGGCACAUGUUGGUUCACUAAAGCUUCUUCAAAAUAAAACAUUGAGGUUUAGUUCGUCUAAAUUAAAUUACACUUGAUGGUAUACUAAAAAUUAUGCCUAGACAUUUUACCCAGACUAGAAAACCCAAACCGGAGCCGAUAUAAAAUUAUGAACUUCGAAUCGGACCAAAAAUUUACAAGUUUAUUGGUCUAAAAUUCUUCAACUGGAAAGAAAUAGAACCGGAAAAAAAAACUAUCCGAAUAGAUUCUGACUUGAAAAAAUCAACCCGAAUAGACCCGACCCGAUAAAAAUCGAUUCAUACCCGACUUAAUAACAUGAAUAUCAAAAACUAUGAUUUUUAUGUUGUAUUUUCUAUAUCUUUUUUUAUGAUUUAUAUGAAAUGUUUUUUUGUUAACAAUCUUUGCUGUUAUUUUUAUAGCAUUUUCAAGUAAUAUGAAGUUUUAAAUGUAAAGUUUAUAGUACCAAAAUAUUUUGUUUUAAUUAUUAAUAAUUUAUUUAAGUCCUUUUAUAAAAUUAUAUAUAUACAUAUAUAUAUAUAUAUAUGAAAGAUACCGAAUUUUGAUGGAGUUUGGAUAUUCCGUGCUUUUUUCAGAUUCUAAAUACUCAAACCCGGUCCAGACCUGAUACGGAUCCGAAAACUUUGAGUAUUUACAAAUAUUUUAGUUAUAUAUCUAAAUAAGCGGAUCCAAAACCGAACCGAAUCCGAAUAAAAAAAUUUACAAAUAACUAUUGGAUCCAAAUGUCAAAGAUUCGAAGAAUACAAAUUCGAAAGCAACUGGUCCGAAUUCGAUCCGAAGACUCGAAUGCCCAAGUCUACAAAAAAUUUUACAAACUUGUAUGAAUAUUAAAUUAAAAAAAAAGGUACCAUUUUGUUUUUCAUGUAUGAUAUAUGCCAUAGAGUUUUCCUGUUAAUAUAUCAUGUAAUCGUUUAUAUGCUCUUUGAAAAGAAUAUAUGUGAAUAUUAUCUCUUAUUUGUCUCCACACCAGAACCUCCAUCAAAUGCAUGUAUACAUGCAUAUCCGAUCAUGACACAUACUGAUAAAUCUUUCGGACACAUGAUUUAUACAUAAUAAGAAAGCUGAAUUGUAGUAUAUAUGUUCGUAUUAUUUUUUCAAUUAGUGUUGAUACUCCUUUUCCAUACGAAAUGUCUUGUGAAUUUCAAAUUGGUUUUGGAGUCCUAAUGAGUGUAAUAUAGGAAUAAACGCAUAGAAAAAUCAAAUCAUUAGUAUUCAUUUUAGUUAUGUGUUAGCUUUCGUUUUUGGGAACUCAAAUAUAACCAUAUAAAUUCGGGAACAAAUAUCCAAUUAUGAAAAAAAUACUGGUACAACUAUAGAAGUAUAUAUAUUGUAUUUAAUGCGAUAGAAAACAGAGGAAUGGAUAAGCGUGUCGUGGAGAAGAAGGACCAAGCAAAGCAAAGAAAGUAAAUAUAUUCUGAGAAAAUCCAUUAAAAGAACAUUUAUAUAUUUUAAAACAUUUAAAUCUUAUCCGUCUCCUCGAAAUCGUCAAACUGUUGUAAGAAACCUACGAAAUAGCAAACUUAAAAACAGACACAUUCAUAGAUCCGCUUCACUAGACCACCCGAAACGACAAAACCUGAUCACCGAGUUUAACGUACGAAAACCUGUCGGAGUAAAACUUUUUUCUGUUGUCGUCAUGUUUGGUGGAGGAAGAGGACCCAUGGGUGGCGGCGGAGGGAUGCUACGCGCCGCCGGACGCGCGAUGACGAGAACCGGCGUAGCCAACGGCGGAAUUCAAGAUCCCUUCGCUUCAUCUCCGGCGUCUUCGUCGACGACUCCGGCUGGAAACGCAUCUGUUGCACAUGGUGAUCAUAAACUCGGAUCUUCUUCUGGGUCGAACAACCUGACGCUUUCUGCGGCGUCAGGGUCGCUGUUGAAUUUUCCGGUGGCUGCGACCGCCGGAUGGAGCGGCGGAGCUUUUUCGUUUAUUAACUCCGGCGCUUAUGAAGACUUCGAGUGGGUUUCGGAGGAAGGAACAGAGGAGGAUGACUCUGUUUUUGGCUCUGUUCCUUCUGUUGAUGAAGUCCAUGAUGCUGUCUCUGCUCUCCAGCAGUAAUCAUCAUCUUUGUUUCUCUCUUUAUUUGUGUGUGUUUGUGUUUGUGAUUUGGUUGGGUGAGAAUUUUUGAGGUUUGAAACUUCUAUCAAUGAUUAGAAUUGACUAUUAAUCUCGUACAUGUGGAUGAGCUUUAAUUGGUAGAUAUUUUGGUGGUCACGAGAUUAAUCGUACGAAAAAGUAACAGAGAGAGAGAAAGAGACGAGAAGUGUCUUGGCUUUGAUAGAUUGUCUGAAAUUUAACUCUCUCUUUUUUCUGAGUGUGAUUGAAUUGUCUUGAUUUAAUGAACAAAGAGAAGAUGGAAGUUCUAUUAACUAACUUUUGUUUUGUUUGCUUAUGGGAUUACUGUCCUCGUGUCAAUUAUAACCCCACAUAGUUGUUUGUUUCUUAUGAAUUCUAGAACAUGCUCUCUUGUUUAAUGAAAUCUUGAGUAACUGUUUUUUUCUUGUUUUCUUGAAGGGUUUUCGAUGGAAGUUCGUUUUCUCAGCUGGUUAGAGACAAAUACGAGAGCUAUCCGGAACAUGGUGGUGGAAACCAGAGCCCUAUAGCGACAGGAAUGGUUCAUCAAGCUCCUUCAUUUGGGUCUGAUUCGGACUGGAUGGAGCCUUCGGUGCAGCUGUGCCAUUCAAGAGUCUUGCAGCCUCAUGCUUAUGAUCAGGUUUACAAUGCUUUUGACCUUCUGCGUACCGAACCGUCUGUCCAGGUGAUCUUUUUAUUUAUUUAUUUCUUGAUUCACUAACCUCAAAUUUCUCUCUUGUUCUGUUAAGUAUUCUUGAAUCCUAGAAAAAAAAAUUCAAGAGAACUUUGUUGUGAACAAACGAGAAUUAAAGUUGAAAAAAAAACAAGAAAACUGAGAGAAACUCGAUUUAGACAAAGGCAUGUUUUAUGGUUUGUAUGUUGAUUAUGUGAAUAAAUGUAUUUACAAUCCCGUAUUUAACUAUUUAUACAGCCUAAAAAAUCCAAUAUUCGUUUUCUUUUCUGUUUGGGAAACUUUCUUAUCUACUUUGUCUUCCUAUCGUCUAUCGAAUGUGUUAUUUGAUAGUGAACUUUAUCGAAAAUGUAGAUUAUUCUUUUAGUUUGAUAUUUAACUGGUCGUUACGUUGUAUUAUGAUCUAAGGCUUCUUACAAUUUGUGCAGAGAAUGGUAAUAUCAUUGUCAUCUGACAAAGCAGUGUGGGAUGCGGUGAUGAACAACGAGGUGGUGAGAGAGAUUAAGGAUCUCUACAACAAUGGGAUAAGUCAAGGUAUAGGCAGAACAUAUUGGUUAGUUUUUAAGCCUUUAGUUGGAGAGAGUUCUCAUUGACUUGUUCGAUCUUUAUGUACUCCUAAUAACAGAUGAGGAGAGUUCGGAUGAAACUCCCGGGGAGAAUAACGCAGCAGUGGAUUUCAUAAAAUGGGUAUUUGACAACACAAUGGUUAAGGCCAACGAAGUGUUUAAGAAAAUAACAAGGCUAGUGGUAGAGCUCUUGAAUAGUCACAAUGAUGACGGUGUUAACAAGAAGGGGAAAGAUGCCAAAUUCAACAAUUGGCUUGAGGAAAAGCUGAAGACUUCGGUCUUGCUCUCCAUCGUGGUCAUGCUGGUCGUGAUGGUCUCCCGUGCCUGCAACAAGUCUUGAUCGUUUCAAAAUUUGUCGACAAUACAUUUCGUCUUAAUACACUUUCUUUCAAGUCAUGUUGUGGUUUGUUUUGGUAAUGUCUGGUUUUGCAUUCCAUUGUUGACGUUGUAGACGGUGUACUCAGUUGUGCUUUCUGUCAUAAAGAACUCUGAAUAAGUGUUUGUACAGGAUUCAGUCGAUUAGAAUGAUAACUUAGAAAAUGGGAUGACUAAAGACGUUUUUAUUAGAAUCAACACAGUGGGUUACAAGACUGAUCGAAAGUAAGGAGACAAGAUCAGAGGUUUAAACGACAAGAUCGAAGAGAUGAUUAGGAAACCCUAAAUCUAGCCGCUUAGUAUGUGAUUUCUCCAAAAGUCCCUCUUUCGUUGCCUCCUCCUUCUCUCUUAUAGUGCCCUUCUGCGUGGUGCCCUAAUCGCGCCUAUCCUUUGGGCCUUGUCGCCCAAAGGCCGAGUAUGUGGGCCUUAGUACUGUUUCAUCCAAGCCGAGUAUAGCUGAUCGGCUUAGCUGACCGGCUUAAAGUACUCUGAGGUCGAGCUGACGUCUCUAGCCGCUAAGCCGACUAAGCUUGAUCGACCUUGUCGGGCUAGGGCCUGUUAUGUGAUGGGCCUUGUAGAGGGAUGUAAUCCAUCUCCUACAAUAAGUCCCCCCCCAGUUCACUUGUGAGCGGCUUGUCGGUCUCAGUGAAUUUGUGGGUCAGGUUCGCUCAUAUAACAGGGCCUAAUGCCGACGGCCGUGGUCGCCACCGGUUGGUUACCAGUGCGUGUAUGAAUCUUACUUCAAGGAUCAGACGAAGCUCUGGUUCCCAAUCCCCAGACUGAUCACGUCUUACGCAUUUCGUCGGGAUAUCGCCAUUUCUCAGCUGCUGAACGGGUCGCUGCGCAUAGCCGUCAUGUUGAUGGUUAUGGCAGCGGAGAUGGAUGUUUCGAUGAGCGUGAGGGUGUUUGAGGAGCUGACUUUCACGAAGGCGGAGCCUAACGGGAUCUUCUCGGUAAAGAUGAGAGCGAGUUACAACGUUUUGACUGGUCAUCCCAACAAGACGCAGGAUUGGCAACGCGCUUACUUCUUCAUUAAGUCCGACGAGCAUGCCUUCGAGGAGCCGCCGGGGGACGAUUAUCGCGUUUUAUGGAAUCAGCAACUUGGUAGAAAUUUGUCUGUUUACUCGUAUUCUGGUCGAUGGUUCUGAUGUUCCCCUUUUCUUUUGCAGUUCGUCAUCCCAAUACAAUUGCUUAUCCAGAGAAAUUCUUCGAAACUGCUCAACUGAUCGCGACGCAUAGUCAUCUCAGGUGGCCGGAUCUUAGUCGGGAGUGGAUACGUCGGCAACAAGCUAGGAUCGCCAGAGGUAAAGUUGCCGUUUACCCUAGAGAGAUGCUCUUGAACCUUUUUUAUAGUCUCCGUGUCUGAUUUCUCUUUCUUAUAUAGUUGAUUGGGAAUCGAGACUUCCUUGUGUACUCGGUCCCCGCAAAUCACGUCUCUCCCUAUUUACUCGGAAGCAACAAAAACUCCUUAACCAAGCUAGAAAGAUGGAGGGAGUUCCCGACUUAAGUGCCCUGUUGAAAGGGAAGCUUCAAAUGCUCUCGACGAAAUCGUCUUCUGCCGGUGCCUCAGAAGUCAGGCCUGUUUCCACAGAUGGAGAUGUGAACCCUGAGCCGCCAGCUCAGAGUUCCCCAAAGAGGAAGGCCAAUAGGGCCAAGGCCAAGAACAGGAGUGUCCCUUUGGAAGAGGCACAACCUUCUGCCGAUGUCUCUGAAGUCGCGGCUAAGAAGAAGAAGAAAAAGGAGAGCAAGAAAAGGUCUCGUGAAGAGACUUCUGUUGGGGCUAUGGAGACUCCAACUGCCGCAGGGAAUGAUGGUGCGGAAAGAAACGAUCCGGCCGAUUCUACUCGGGGAUCGCCUGAGGAGCGUCCCAAGAAGAAACUGAAGAAGAAGUCAGCGGAUGGCGAUGGGACUUCUGCUCCCGAGAUUCCUUCUAGAAGUGGGGAACCAGCUACUGAAGUCGGAGAUGGCUCACGGGAUGAAUCUCCGUCGAGUAAGGGAGCCCCUUCGUCUUCUGCGAGGGAGACUGGUGCGGGAAGCGGAGGUUCGCUUCCGCGGAAGGCGGGAGGAGGAAUUCACUUCCCGGAUCACGUAGAAUUCCUUUACGACGAGGCGACUCCGUUGGUUCUGAAUCCACUUCCGUGUGCUGAACUGACUCGUCAGAUUCGUGGCGGGACCAAAGAGUUGCCGCCGGUCGACGACUUAUACUUCAAAAGGGAGUACAUUGACGCGGCUAUGGCGGGCAGACGGGUAAACUUGUUUUCCCCUUGUUUCCCUUUCUCUUUCUUUAAAAAUUUUUCUAAGUCUCUUUUGCUUCACGCAGAGUGACGGGAGCAUGAACUAUCUCGUGGAGAAGUACGACAGCACUUUGAAGCAGACGAUGGUCCAGCUGGGCGCCUCGGAUAAACUCGCACGGACCAGAUUGGGCGUGAUCGAGAGGUUACGCGCCGAGAACAAAAAGGCCAGCGACAAAGCGGCCAAAGAGAAAGAGGUCCUCCGAGUUAAGUUCGAGGAGUUGGAAGACAAGCUGAAGUCUGACCGUCUUGCGAAGAAGGACGCUCUCCGCGAGAAAACUCGCUUAGAGCGAUUGGUCGCUUCCCUUGAGAAGGAGAAGGCUGAGCUCGAGGGAGAGAGGGACGCUGUCGUCGGAACGCUGGUCAAAGAGAGGCAACGCCUGAGGGAUUCCAGGGUUCAGGAGGUUACCCGCGAGAGGAUCAAGGUCCAAACGGCUAUGGCGGACAAGUCUACUCGCUGUAUCGGUAAGAUGAAGGGCUAUCUGGAUCGCCUUAUCGCGCGAGAGAAGGCCAAGAACUUAUAUGGGCAGGCUUCAGGAACCAAAAAAUGCCUUGAGAUGAUUAAAGAUAGCGGGAUCGCGAUUCCGCCGAGUAUGAUCAACAUCUUCUCGGAGCAGGAGAAGAUGUAUGAGGCUGAAGUCGCCAAUCUUUACCUCGAGCCGUUCUCUGAGGAUGAUUAUGCUCUCUCUCCUCUCAGCCUCCCUUCUCGAUUUGUGAAUGAAGAGCUCAUGGGGGUACUCGACCCGUAUGGAUCAAAUGUUGGUCUGAUUGGCCACGAAUCAGCCUCCCAGUUGAUCACUUCCCGCGAGGCGACUGAAGAUCCAGUCGAUGAGCCGAUGGUAGACAUUACUUCUGCUUUGUCGGAGCGUAUCGUCGUUCCCGAAGGAACUACCAUCGAGGAGCGCCCCGACGGGAGCGAUCCCGAGGAGACCGGGGAAGCGANNNNNNNNNNNNNNNNNNNNNNNNNNNNNNNNNNNNNNNNNNNNNNNNNNNNNNNNNNNNNNNNNNNNNNNNNNNNNNNNNNNNNNNNNNNNNNNNNNNNNNNNNNNNNNNNNNNNNNNNNNNNNNNNNNNNNNNNNNNNNNNNNNNNNNNNNNNNNNNNNNNNNNNNNNNNNNNNNNNNNNNNNNNNNNNNNNNNNNNNNNNNNNNNNNNNNNNNNNNNNNNNNNNNNNNNNNNNNNNNNNNNNNNNNNNNNNNNNNNNNNNNNNNUUGGUUCGGGCUAGAACCGGAGAUUAAUUUCGGUCCGGUUUCUUGAUUGAAAACCGGUUUUGGCGAGAAACCGAACCGUCGCGAGUAGGUUUUUGGGCAUUUAGGCGGCCUUUGAAGCCCAUUUAGGCCUUUGUAGACCUAAUGAUGACGCUUCGAAGGAUGCGCCUCGUUUUUGCUAUAAAUAGGCGUCUCUCCUUUGCUUUCGUCAUUCUUCUCUGCAGACUCAGGUAUUCCACUUUCUCUCCCUUCUCUCUACUUUUAUUUUCUCUCUCUAGAUAAGACUUCCGUAGCAUAGGGUUUUUUGCUAGCGAUCUAGCUGGUUUAGUCGUCCCCCCGAGUAGAAGAGAUAUGGCUUCAGGGAAUCGGCUAUCGCGCGAGGAAAAAGGGAAAGAUAUAGCUACUUCGCCAAGCCCGGCUAGGGAUGCGGACGGGGGUCCGUUGGAGGAUUUCGACAUAAUCCAUCGUGAUGCUCUGCGGGAUACGGAGAACAUGAGCCUUUCCCAGCGCCUUCUGGUCGCUGAUGCCCAUAGACAGUUUCGCGAAGAAAUCGAAGAAAACGUUGAGGGCGAGGAUAGAGAGGCGAGUGGUUCUGAAGCGCCUAGCCUUGUCGUAAGACCUAAGAGACGGGCUCGUCGGAGGGGUCGUAUCGACCAGUCAGGCCGUCUCCCUGCUCCGAGAAGUGUUCCGUUCUACGAAGUAGACUGUCGUCCUGUGAUAUAUCACCCUGGUGGGAUUUUCGAAGAACUACCUUCGCUGCCUCCCGAAGCGUUACGCGACCCGCGAGUUCAAUCGUGGGGAAACGUUUUCAGUUCCUGUUCUUCCAACGAGACCGUGAAGAGAUUGCUAAGAGAGAGUGGUGGCGCUGGAGUCACCUUCCUCAUUCCGUCAAUCGAUCAGCGGCCGUGGUCGCCACCGGUUGGUUACCAGUGCAUAUAUGAAUCUUCCUUCAAGGAUCAGACGAAGCUCUGGUUCCCAAUCCCCAGACUGAUCACGUCUUACGCAUUUCGUCGGGAUAUCGCCAUUUCUCAGCUGCUGAACGGGUCGCUGCGCAUAGCCGUCAUGUUGAUGGUUAUGGCAGCGGAGAUGGAUGUUUCGAUGAGCGUGAGGGUGUUUGAGGAGCUGACUUUCACGAAGGCGGAGCCUAACGGGAUCUUCUCGGUAAAGAUGAGAGCGAGUUACAACGUUUUGACUGGUCAUCCCAACAAGACGCAGGAUUGGCAACGCGCAUACUUCUUCAUUAAGUCCGACGAGCAUGCCUUCGAGGAGCCGCCGGGGGACGAUUAUCGCGUUUUAUGGAAUCAGCAACUUGGUAGAAAUUUGUCUGUUUACUCGUAUUCUGGUCGAUGGUUCUGAUGUUCCCUUUUUCUUUUGCAGUUCGUCAUCCCAAUACAAUUGCCUAUCCAGAGAAAUUCUUCGAAACUGCUCAACUGAUCGCGACGCAUAGUCAUCUCAGGUGGCCGGAUCUUAGUCGGGAGUGGAUACGUCGGCAACAAGCUAGGAUCGCCAGAGGUAAAGUUGCCGUUUACCCUAGAGAGAUGCUCUUGAACCUUUUUCAUAGUCUCCGUGUCUGAUUUCUCUUUCUUGUAUAGUUGAUUGGGAAUCGAGACUUCCUUGUGUACUCGGUCUCCGCAAAUCACGUCUCUCCCUAUUUACUCGGAAGCAACAAAAACUCCUUAACCAAGCUAGAAAGAUGGAGGGAGUUCCCGACUUAAGUGCCCUGUUGAAAGGGAAGCUUCAAAUGCUCUCGACGAAAUCGUCUUCUGCCGGUGCCUCAGAAGUCAGGCCUGUUCCCACAGAUGGAGAUGUGAACUCUGAGCCGCCAGCUCAGAGUUCCCCAAAGAAGAAGGCCAAUAGGGCCAAGGCCAAGAACAGGAGUGUCCCUUUGGAAGAGGCACCACCUUCUGCCGAUGUCUCUGAAGUCGCGGCUAAGAAGAAGAAGAAAAAGGAGAGCAAGAAAAGGUCUCGUGAAGAGACUUCUGUUGGGGCUAUGGAGACUCCAACUGCCGCAGGGAAUGAUGGUGCGGAAAGAAACGAUCCAGCCGAUUCUACUCGGGGAUCGCCUGAGGAGCGUCCCAAGAAGAAACUGAAGAAGAAGACAGCGGAAGGCGAUGGGACUUCUGCUCCCGAGAUUCCUUCUAGAAGUGGGGAACCAGCUACCGAAGUCGGAGAUGGCUCACGGGAUGAAUCUCCGUCGAGUAAGGGAGCCCCUUCGUCUUCUGCGAGGGAGACUGGUGCGGGAAGCGGAGGUUCGCUUCCGCGGAAGGCGGGAGGAGGAGUUCGCUUCCCGGAUCGCGUAGAAUUCCUUUACGACGAGGCGACUCCGUUGGUUCUGAAUCCACUUCCGUGUGCUGAACUGACUCGUCAGAUUCGUGGCGGGACCAAAGAGGUGCCGCCGGGCGACGACUUAUACUUCAAAAAGGAGUACAUUGACGCGGCUAUGGCGGGCAGACGGGUAAACUCGUUUUCCCCUUAUUUCCCUUUCUCUUUCUUAAAAAUUUUUCUAAGUCUUUUUUGCUUCACGCAGAGUGACGGGAGCAUGAAUUAUCUCGUGGAGAAGUACGACAGCACUUUGAAGCAGACGAUGGUCCAGCUGGGCGCCUCGGAUAAACUCGCACGGACCAGAUUGGGCGUGAUCGAGAGGUUACGCGCCGAGAACAAAAAGGCCAGCGACAAAGCGGCCAAAGAGAAAGAGGUCCUCCGAGUUAAGUUCGAGGAGUUGGAAGACAAGCUGAAGUCUGACCGUCUUGCGAAGAAGGACGCUCUCCGCGAGAAAACUCGCUUAGAGCGAUUGGUCGCUUCCCUUGAGAAGGAGAAGGCUGAGCUCGAGGGAGAGAGGGACGCUGUCGUCGGAACGCUGGUCAAAGAGAGGCAACGCCUGAGGGAUUCCAGGGUUCAGGAGGUUACCCGCGAGAGGAUCAAGGUCCAAACGGCUAUGGCGGACAAGUCUACUCGCUGUAUCGGUAAGAUGAAGGGCUAUCUGGAUCGCCUUAUCGCGCGAGAGAAGGCCAAGAACUUAUAUGGGCAGGCUUCAGGAACCAAAAAAUGCCUUGAGAUGAUUAAAGAUAGCGGGAUCGCGAUUCCGCCGAGUAUGAUCAACAUCUUCUCGGAGCAGGAGAAGAUGUAUGAGGCUGAAGUCGCCAAUCUUUACCUCGAGCCGUUCUCUGAGGAUGAUUAUGCUCUCUCUCCUCUCAGCCUCCCUUCUCGAUUUGUGAAUGAAGAGCUCAUGGGGGUACUCGACCCGUAUGGAUCAAAUGUUGGUCUGAUUGGCCACGAAUCAGCCUCCCAGUUGAUCACUUCCCGCGAGGCGACUGAAGAUCCAGUCGAUGAGCCGAUGGUAGACAUUACUUCUGCUUUGUCGGAGCGUAUCGUCGUUCCCGAAGGAACUACCAUCGAAGAGCGCCCCGACGGGAGCGAUCCCGAGGAGACCAGGGAAGCGAUUCAAACGGAUACGGGGGAUGUAGCCGCUGAAGAUCCAGUCUUGGUUUCUUCAUCUGAGGAGCGGGAAGAGGACGGAGUGGGCGUGGAGGAGAACGGGUCAUCGCCGGCGCUUGUUGAAGAGAUGGUCCCGAACCUGCCAGUUCCAGACCCUUCUGCUCAGGUUGAAGGCCUUGGCGAUCAAGUCGUUGAAGAAGAAACGAUCGGAGCGCUUGACCCGAGUAGGGAUGACCAAGACGUUGUCGUCUGAUCUUGUUGUAUGUUAUAUUUAGGAUGCUUUCAUCGGUGGUCUUGAUAGACCUUGUUGUUGUACGACNNNNNNNNNNNNNNNNNNNNNNNNNNNNNNNNNNNNNNNNNNNNNNNNNNNNNNNNNNNNNNNNNNNNNNNNNNNNNNNNNNNNNNNNNNNNNNNNNNNNNNNNNNNNNNNNNNNNNNNNNNNNNNNNNNNNNNNNNNNNNNNNNNNNNNNNNNNNNNNNNNNNNNNNNNNNNNNNNNNNNNNNNNNNNNNNNNNNNNNNNNNNNNNNNNNNNNNNNNNNNNNNNNNNNNNNNNNUUGCAAAUAGACAAGUGAUGAACCGGUAAUUGGUUUUACUCGGCUGCCAUCAUGUUUCGAUUUGGAGUUGUCCAAAAGUUGAUAACAAAGAAUUGAGUAUAAGAGUGAAAGGUCCUUCUGUCCGUUUCCUCAGUGACAAUUAAGCAAUCGGGUAGCUAAGCCGUUACAUUUUAGUCGAGAAAAGGCAAAGAUUCACUCUGUUUAGUCGGUUCAAUGCUUAGGCAUAGGUGAACCGUGACUGUUAAGGUCCUGGAGCCAAGUGUCUUUUUUUUUUUUUUUUUUUUUUUUUUUUUUUUUUUUUUUUAGGGUGAUACUUCUACGAGUAGAAACGUCGAAGAUGCAUUGAGUUCCAUGAUCGCGGGACUUCUUCUCCGCGCGAGGUUUGGAGUCGGUAUACGCCAGGUUUAACAACUUUGAUGAUUUUGUAUGGUCCUUCCCACCUGGCGCCGAGUUUACCGGCGUUAAGCUCUUUAGUGUUUUCAAACACUUUGCGCAUGACGAGAUCACCGAGUUCUAAAGGUCGGGCUCGGACCUUUUUGUUAUAGUAGCUCUCAAUCUGAUGUUGGUAAUUCUGGAUGCGCAGUAGGGCUUGAUCUCUCCGUUCUUCUAUCUCAUCGAGGGCGUCGAGUAGCAUCUCCUUGUUUAGCUCGACGUAUUGAGGCAUUUUGGAACGUCUGAGGCUUGAAACGUUAACUUCUGCAGGAGCCAUGGCUUCAACACCGUAAGCGAGAGAGAAGGGUGUCGAUUUAGUCGAUCCUCGUGGAGUCGUGCGAUGGCUCCAUAGGACUCCGUCGAGUUCGUCAGCCCAGUGACCUUUUUUGAGGUCUAGACGCUUUUUAAUGCCGUCGAUGAUGAGUUUGUUGGAGGAUUCGGCUUGGCCAUUACCCUGCGGGUAACGUGGAGUGGAUGGGCUUAGCCGAAUGUUCCACUUGCUACAGAAUUCCUUAAAGUUGCCUGACAUGAACUGUGACCCGUUGUCGGUGACGAUCUCGUAGGGCAGUCCGUGGCGGCAAAUAAUGUUUUUCCAGACGAAGCCGCGGACUUCUUUGUCUGUAACUUGAGCGUAUGCUUCAGCUUCGAUCCAUUUGGUGAAGUAGUCGGUGAGGACGAGGAUGAAGCGUCUUUGGCGGGAGCAGGGGAGUGGUCCUAUGAUGUCCAUCGCCCAUCGCAUGAACGGGUAGGGAGCGGUGGUUGUUCGCAACAGUUCGGUUGGACAAUGGAUGCUGGGUGCGUGCCGUUGGCACUUGUCGCAGCUUCUCGCAUAAGACUCGCAAUCCGCGUUCAUUGUUGGCCAGAAGAAACCUAAGCUCCUUACUUUUAUUGCUAACGCACGUCCGCCCGAGUGAUUUCCACCGGCGCCUUCAUGCGUUUCCGCCAUAACCCUUGCUGUCUCGUCGCCAUGGAUGCAUUUUAAGAGCACCUUACUCGCAGUCCAUCUAUGCAGUUCAUCAUCGAGAACGACGUAAUGGGCGCUGCGGGUUUUUAGCCGGCGAGCCGCCCAUUUUUCUGCUGGGAGUUCCCCUUUUGAGAGGUAGUCGAUGAAUUCAUUUCUCCAGUCAGGGCCAAACCCAUCGUCGUCUGGAGUGGCGGGUUCAGCGACUUGGGCGAUGAGGGUUUGAUCGGUUAGGACGUCGAUGCUUGGUUUCUCGAUACGAUGUAUCGGGAUGGUUCUCUUCACUUGAUCACGAAGCUUGCUGCCAAGGGCGGCGAGGGCAUCGGCGCAGACGUUCUCGCCUCUCGGAACUUUGAUGAGUUCGAAAAAUUCGAACUCUGCCGCCAGGCUUUGCACUAUUCUAAGAUAGGCGUCCAUUCGAUCGUUGCGGGCGUCGUAGUCGCCACUGAACUGACUGGCGACUAACUGGGAGUCACAGUAAGCGCUUAGACGUUUAGCUUUGACGGCUUUUGCUAAGCGGAGUCCUGCGAUGAGAGAUUCGUAUUCCGCCUCGUUGUUUGAAGCGGGAAAGCCAAAGCUGAAAGACUGUCGGAUCAGCUCGCCGGUCGGGGAUUGCAAUUGGACUCCAGCGCCUGCUCCUUUGUUAGUUGACGAGCCAUCGACGUGCAAAGUCCAGUUUGAGCUUGGGAGUGUGAGAUCUUGCUCUAAUUCUGGGGCCAGUUCGACCAAGAAGUCGGCAAGGACCUGGGAUUUUGCCGCCGUGCGAUUCUUGUAGAUGAUAUCGAGCUCGCCGAGUUCGAUGGCCCACUUCGUGAGUCUGCCAGAUCUGUUAGUGUUCUGGAGUAUCGUUCGGAGAGGCUGAUCGGUCAGUACUUCCACGGAGUGCGACUGGAAAUACGGUCGUAGUUUUCUCGCUGCUUCAACAACUGCUAAAGCCAUCUUUUCCAGAGUUGGAUACCGCGUCUCCGGUCCUGUCAUGCGUCGGCUUGUAUAGAAGAUGGGCUUUUGCUCGCCGCGGUCUUCUUUUAUCAGAACACUGCUGACUGCAGCCUGUGAUACUGCGACAUAGAGAGACAGAACGUCGCCGACGUCAGGCUUAGCGAGUACUGGGGGUGUAGUCAGAUACUGUUUGAGUUGAGUGAAUGCUUCCUCGCAUCUUUCGUCCCAAAUGAACUUCUUAUUUCCUCGCAAGAGAUCAUAGAAUGGGAGGCACUUGUCAGUGGAUCUGGAGAUGAAUCGAUUUAGAGCGGCUAUGCGGCCCGUGAGUCGCUGCACUUCCCUGCUGUUCUUCGGACUUGGGAGGUUUAGAACCGCAGAGAUUUGCUUUGGGUUCGCCUCGAUUCCUCGCUGUGUGACAAUGUAACCAAGGAACUCGCCGGAAGAAACCCCGAACGUGCACUUCGCUGGGUUUAGCUUCAUGCCGUACUUGUUGAGGGUCUCGAAGCAUUCUUGUAGGUGGCGGAGAUGAUCGGUUGCAUGGAGCGACUUAACCAGCAUAUCGUCGAUGUACACUUCCAUGGUGGUGCCCAGCUUAUCUGCGAACAUCUUGUUGACAAGCCUCUGGUAGGUUGCUCCGGCGUUCUUCAGGCCGAAUGGCAUGACCUUGUAGCAAUAGGUUCCCCUAUCUGUGAUGAAGGCCGUCUUCUCGCGAUCGUCCGGGUGCAUCAUUAUCUGGUUGUAUCCGGAAAAGGCGUCCAUGAAGGUGAGCAUCUCGUUCCCAGCCGUGGACUCGACUAGACGGUCGAUGCUGGGAAGAGGGUAGCUAUCCUUUGGACAGGCUUUAUUCAGGUCGGUGAAGUCGACGCAGACGCGCCACUUACCAUUUUUCUUUUUGACGACUACCGGGUUUGCCAACCACUCAGGGUAGCGGACUUCAGCAAUCGAACCCGCGCCAAGUAGCCUGUCGACUUCUUCGUUUACUGCCUUAGACCUAUCAGGGCCGAGCUUGCGUCUCUUCUGUCGGAUAGGCUUGAACGUUGGGUCGACGUUUAGUUCGUGAGUGGUUAUACUCGGGUCGAUGCCUUUCAUGUCUGUCAUAGACCAGGCGAACGUGGACACGUUCUGUCUGAGGAAAUCCAGGAUUGACUGCUGCAUCUCAUCGGAGAGGUAUGCUCCAACUCUGACGGUUCGACUCUGGUCGACGUCGUCGACGGGUAACUCGAGGACUUCGCUUUCCUGAGAGUGGACUUUUGGGGUUGGAGGGGACACUGAGUUCACGGGUAGCGACGCUCGUUGGAGUUUGACCGUGGCGACUAGGAGAUCCCUAGCGGCCUUUUGGUCCCCACGCAAUGUUUUUAUCUUCCCGUCCGUGCCCGGAAACUUGACGCAUUGAUGGUAGGUGGAAGGGACAGCUUGCAUAGAGUGUAACCAAGGAGUACCGAGUAUAGCGUGAUACGGAGCUUUUGUGCUAACGACGGCGAAUUUGACCGUUCGAGUAACGCCGCAUGCGCGCACCGGGAGACGGAUCGUUCCCAAUAUGGUUUCGGAUGACCCGUUGAAUCCUGUUAGCGUUCUGGAGGAUGCUUUUAUAUCGUCGAGGUCGACUCCCAUCUUCUGCAGAGUUCCUCGGAAGAUGAGGUCAACGGAACUCCCGGUGUCAAUAAGGAUCUUGGUGACAUCAUACUCUCCAAUUCCAAGGACGACGAGGAGGGGAUCAUUAUGGGGUGCGUGAACACCUUCAGCGUCAUCUGAUGAGAAGGUUAUUGGAGGAUGACUUGUCGGUUUACUCGGCCACUUCUGAGACGUCGCGACUUGUCGACGAUAAUCUUUCACGGAACGGACUGAGUCGCCGCUAGGGGAACCCCCCAUGAUGACGUUUAAAGACUGUCCCGUUUGGACUCGCUUGGAGUUCAGUAAGGCGCGGAGGUCUUUUGGUACGCUGGUACCAGGAGGUGGAAGUUGAGGUUGACCUUUAGCUCGCUCCAACUGUCGUCGUAAGUCUGUUGGUUUUGACUUGUUAAGCUUCACGCGGAGAUCGCUCACUCCGGCAUUGAGUUUGUCUCGGAGGUCGCCAAUUGGCCCUUCGUUGUUGUUGCCAUCGCUUGUCGAGAUGCGUCGAGACUUCCGUGCAUCUAGCAUCGUCCGGAGAUCUCUGCGUGUGGUAUCGCUUCCAUUUUCCGGUGCGAGCCGCCGUUUAAGGCUGUCUCUCAGGUCUCCGGGUACAGGCGAAUCGUCAUUAUCUUCGUCGGACGACAAGGAUUGCUGAGAGAGUAUAACCUCAAUGCGUCUGCGAUUAGCCGGAUGCUCUUCGUCGGCUGAGGAGUCUCCCCCACCGUUAUCCCUUGGGGUUUCUUCCUCGUCGUCUCGUUGCGGAGCGUCGUUUUGUCGACCUCUGCCAGUGGCUUUGCGCUGGGCCCUUCGUUCUUUGUUCUUGCUCCAGCUCUUACCGUUCUUUGGUUUGGCUUUCAAUGGCUCAAACUUAAACUCGCCGCUUGCAAGGGACGAGAGGUAAUGCGCGUAGAGAGAUUUGCAUUCUGAGGUAUCGUGUCCUUUGACGUCGUGAUACUUGCAAUGCUUGGUGAGGUCGACGGUCCGGGAAGGUCCUGCUGCUGAUCCGACUCCAGCUGCGGGUUGGGUGGUGCAAACAGAAUCGACUUUUUGGUCGGAUGACUCGAGUUCUCUUACCCACUUGUUCCACCCCUCCCCGCGAACUACGAGAGUGGAGAUUGGUGUGUUAUUCUCGUUCACGACAUACAUGUAACCAUCCUUGGGACCGUUUUUGUCGUUUGGAGCGUGCUGGCGCGGUUCUUGUCGCGCAUUUGCGUUCUUAGCCGCUGGAGCCUUGGGUGCGCUCAUCUUGCUGAGGAUUGCGUUGGUGUCCUCCUCCAUUCGGAUGAAGUUAUCGGAGCGUGCGAUAGCGUCUUGGAGCGACUUGGUUGGAUUCUGGUACAGGUCUUCUCGGAACUUGGAGUGGACCCACAAGGUGUUGCGCAAUGCAUCGAUAGCGAUUCCGUCUGGGAUCUCAAUCUUUGACACUACGGCUUUGAAUUUCUCCAUGUAGUCGCGCAAGCUCUGAUCCUUUUUCUGAUUGAGGUUCCAUAGGCUGGACGCGGUGGCGCUGCGCUUUGUGAACAUGAUGUAUGUCUUGAGAAAAGCUGCUGAUAGGUCGCGGAAACAUCCGAUUGAGUUCUCCUCCAACUGGGAGAACCAAGUCAGGGCUUGCUCGUGAAGAGUCUCGACGAACAGCUGGCAGUAACCUGCGUCCCUUUCGUCGUCGGGGAGACGAGCUCGCGCCAUCGCGAUGUUAAAAGCGGUCAUAUGUUCUACCGGGUCUCCGCCGGGCUUGUACUCAGGUAGGCGCAGCUUUUCUAUCUUUCCGAGUUGGACGCUAGUUAGCGCGCGAGUAAAAGGAGUGCGCGAGGUUGCGGCGAGUACGCUCUCUAUUUGCGGAGCUGCGCUGGUUACAUGGUGGAUCUUCUCUCCCAUUUGUUGAAGGCUGAGUUUGAGCUCGGCGAGCUCGCGUAUUGUCGUGAGAUCUGAGCCUGCUGGGGGAGCGUCUGCGAGAAAGGCUUCGUUAGGCUCCGAGUCGUCAGAGAUAUGGUCGACUCCGGCUGCCGUAGGAUUUGUGUUGAAGAGGCGGCGGCGUGUNNNNNNNNNNNNNNNNNNNNNNNNNNNNNNNNNNNNNNNNNNNNNNNNNNNNNNNNNNNNNNNNNNNNNNNNNNNNNNNNNNNNNNNNNNNNNNNNNNNNNNNNNNNNNNNNNNNNNNNNNNNNNNNNNNNNNNNNNNNNNNNNNNNNNNNNNNNNNNNNNNNNNNNNNNNNNNNNNNNNNNNNNNNNNNNNNNNNNNNNNNNNNNNNNNNNNNNNNNNNNNNNNNNNNNNNNNNNNNNNNNNNNNNNNNNNNNNNNNNNNNNNNNNNNNNNNNNNNNNNNNNNNNNNNNNNNNNNNNNNNNNNNNNNNNNNNNNNNNNNNNNNNNNNNNNNNNNNNNNNNNNNNNNNNNNNNNNNNNNNNNNNNNNNNNNNNNNNNNNNNNNNNNNNNNNNNNNNNNNNNNNNNNNNNNNNNNNNNNNNNNNNNNNNNNNNNNNNNNNNNNNNNNNNNNNNNNNNNNNNNNNNNNNNNNNNNNNNNNNNNNNNNNNNNNNNNNNNNNNNNNNNNNNNNNNNNNNNNNNNNNNNNNNNNNNNNNNNNNNNNNNNNNNNNNNNNNNNNNNNNNNNNNNNNNNNNNNNNNNNNNNNNNNNNNNNNNNNNNNNNNNNNNNNNNNNNNNNNNNNNNNNNNNNNNNNNNNNNNNNNNNNNNNNNNNNNNNNNNNNNNNNNNNNNNNNNNNNNNNNNNNNNNNNNNNNNNNNNNNNNNNNNNNNNNNNNNNNNNNNNNNNNNNNNNNNNNNNNNNNNNNNNNNNNNNNNNNNNNNNNNNNNNNNNNNNNNNNNNNNNNNNNNNNNNNNNNNNNNUUUCAUAUAUUUGUGUUUUAUUUUAUAAAAGACUUAAACUUUUUAUCUUUAUUUAUCGUAUUUCAUUUUAAAUGACUAUUUAUGUUUAAAAAAUUAAACUUUAUUUCUUUAAUGAAUUAAGUUGGUAUAACUCUGAUAAAUUAAUUUUAUUAUGUGGUUAAUAUAUUUUUUAAAAAAAAUUAUAUACUUUUAAUAAAGAUUUAUACUUUUCAGUGAAAAAAUCAAUUUUUUUUAUGAAAGCUUAAAUUAUAUUAAGAAAAAAAUAAUAAUAAUUAAGAAUAGUUGAAAAAAAAUUAUAUGAACUUGGACUCAAUGACCCAAAGGAAAAAAAUGUGAGAAUUGGAUUUGAUUUCUUAAUCGGCCCAAAUGGCACAAGAGAGAUCUGAUGUGGGCUGGAUCCGAAAAAAAAUAACUCAAUAUAAAUGUGUUAUUAAUAUUACUUGAUUGCCCUUAAUGAAACAUGCAAUGUUAGUAAAGAAAAUGAUAGGCUAAGGUAAAAAGGACAAUAGGAUCCUGCUUUAAUAGUAUAGAUAUACAACAAUUCACUUCUAUAUUUAAAUAUAAGCAUCAAACAAACAAAGAUUUUAUUGCCUCCAAAAAAAAACAAAGAAAGAUUAAAAAAAUACAAAGACACAAAAAACAAAAUAAAACAACAAUUAUAUAACACAUAAUGAUUCAAUAAAUGAAUGUAACUUGAUCCAAAAUUAUAGCACAUGAUAUAUUUUUAACAUGAUACCUAUAUUAUAUUCUAAUUUAUAUUUUUAACAUCAUACCUAUAUUAUAUUCUAAUUUAUAUUUUUGUUCUGUAAUAAAAUUACCUUAAAAUUUAAAAAUAAAAUAAUAGAUUACUCAGUAAAACCAACGAAAAGAAAAAUAAAGAAGGCAAUAUAAUAUUUUAAACAGUCACUAAUUAUACGCUGAAACUGAAUAAUAAUAUUGUUAAAAGAACAUUAUAAUCCCUUUAGAUGCAUAGUUCAUUUAAUAAAUGUUUUAAUACAAUAUAUGUCAAUUUUAAAAAUAUUUUGACUGUGAAGAAUUUAUUUAUUUUUCUUAUUAACUAAAACCAAUAGAUUUAAAAGAAAAUAUAUAAGAUAAACUAAAAAAAUUAGUGGAUUCAAAGCAAAUAACAACAAUUAAUAAUUCAUAAUUUACACAUUCAAUCUCAAAUAUAAUUCCCAGUAAUUUAAUGUAUUUACUGAUUAUAAUAAUGAUAGGAAAUCAUUAAAAAAUGAAAAUGAGCCUACUAUUUUAGGAUCUUUUUUUUAUUAAGCAAACAAGGUUUUUUAGCAACAAAACAACAAAAUAUAAUAUCAGUUAAUAUUAUUGUCAACUAUUUAAAAUUUUGAUGUAGACAAAACUGAUCGUUUAAUAUAAUCACACUCACAACCAACCGAACAUAAAAACUUACACAAAAAUAAUAUAUUUGACGCCAACAACACAUCCUGCGCGUAGCGCGGAGCCGUCCUAGUAGAAAAUAAAAUAUUAGAUAAUUAAAAAAAAAAAGAUUUUGGAUUUCAUAUUUGAGUGAAUUGAGACAUGAUCAACAAGUGUUGAUUCACGCAAGGUGAGUAGAUUAGAAUUGAUCUUUGUCUAGUGGUGUGUGACAACAUCAUCUAAGAUAUUGAUUGGAAUAUUUCUAAUAAAAAUAUACGUGUUCUUGAAAUUUUUUUGUGUGCCCUUUGUUUUGCGGAGUCUUGACUCUACAUAUGCAACAUUCAAUGUUUUCUACAUUUUUGUACAGAUUUCCCCAUAAUGGUUUGUUGACAAGCCUAUAUGACUGGCUUCCAUAUGCAGUAAUGAUAUAUUUAACUUAAGUGAAGAUUAUUUGACUAAAUAAUAAAAACAUUUGACUAUCAAAAUGUUUAAUAAAACUAUAUAUUAUUUCCUAUUAGUUUUCAUCAAAUAUUAUAUUAUUUUUGAAUUUAUUGAUUAGUUUUAAUCUCUCACGUUAAAAUCUAGAACAAUUAAAAUUAUUAAUACUCUUUGAAUUAUUUGGAUUUAUUAUUUAAAAUUUGAUGAUUGAUUAUAAAUUAAUAUCUAUAAACAUUCAACAAAAAUAUAAAGACUAAUAAAUAUUAAAAAAAAAAGAUAAUUCAUAGGUUUAUGUUAUCCUUAAUAAUUUUAUUCAAUAAAUCAGAUAAGUAACUAUAAAAUAAUAUAUUAAAAUUCGGCCAAAAAAAACAAAAACAAUUAUUUUAAAAUAUAACGUAAUUCAUUUAUCUUUGAUAUCCUUAUUAAAAUUUAUUCAUUUAAUCUGAUAAUCGAUUAUCAAUUAAUAUAAUAAAAAUUGAUGAUUUAUUUUAAUUUGUAAAAUAUAUUUUACACAUAAAAAUGAAUAAUUUAUAUAUACACACAAUUAUCUGAUUAAGAAAAUAAGAAAAUAAAAUAAAAAAAUAAUUCAUUUGUCUUUGUUAUCUUUAUCAAAAUUUAUGCUUUUAAAUCAUAUAAUUAAUUAAAAAUGAAUAUAAUACAAAUUCAUAAAAACAGAAUUAUUUUUUACCAAUAAAAAAAUAAUUCAUAUAUAUAUAUAUAUAUAUAUAAUACUAUUAUAUGAUUAAUUAUUUAUAAAGUAUUUGAUAAUAAAUGAAAAAUCAUAUGUUUUUGUUAUCCUUAAUAAUAUUUUUUUAUAUAAUAUUAUUGAUUAUAAAUUGAUAUGAUAAAAUAUAGCAAAUUUGUAUAUUACAAAUAAAAACAUACUUAAAAAUCAAAGAUAAUUCAUAUGUGUUUAUUAUCCUUAAUAAAAGAUUUUAUUUAAAUCAUAUAAUUGAUAAUAAAUUAAUAUAAUAAAAUUUCCAAAAUUCAAAACGUAUUUUACAAGAAAAAAUAAUUACUGUAUCCCUUGUAUAUUAAAAGAGAAGCAUUACAAAAUUAGAUGUAUGACACGUGUCACUUGUUAUCACGAGAACGAUUCUUGAGAAUCCACAGAAAAAUAAGUUGACAUAUCUAUAGUUUUCAUUAAACUAAUAAUAAAAUCCCUUAAUAAUCUCAAAAAAUUGUUCUUCAUUCUUUCCUUAAAUAAAAGUUAUAGACUAACCUAACGUGAUUAAAAUAUAUAUGGUAAUUAAUUAUUAUCAUUCGAUUUUAUAACAAUUUGUAUACCCUCUAUUGUUUUGUUUAAAUAUUUUUAUUAAAAUAAAUUAUACAAUUAUAUUAACCAUAUAAUAGAAAUUUAUAUUUUUUUGUAUAUGUUGUAUUUUGAAUUUAUAAAAACGAAUAUAAAUUACUAAACUAUUAAAAGUCUCACAUAAAUUUUGUGAUCAAUGGUUUAAAAUUUUUGUUAUAAUAAGAUACAAAUGAUUAUAAACUGAUGGAGGAGAAGCAAUGAUAAAUAGCUCAACCAAGAGGUUAUAAAACCACGCUUGGGACCUGCCAGCUCAACCAAGAGAUUCUAGGGAAUCCUCGCUCGGGAUCUGCUUCUCUAUUGAUGAAUCUAAUAAAAUCAAUACAAAAGAUAGAAAAUACAAUUCUCCCAAAAGCCAAAGUUCUUUUAUUAAUCAAAUCAAACUUAAUAGAACUUUAGGCUUAGAUGUCUAUUUAUAAUAAAUCCUUAAAUCUUCGAAAACCCUAAUCUUAAUUAAAAUAGGAAAACUACUAAAAUAUAUAAAAUACAAUAAGAAGUAAUUAUCUAUGUAAACUAAUGAAUAAUAAAGAUAUUCGGAUAAUUUCGUCCUCGAAUCUUCAACCGAUUUUUCCACAUAGGAUGCUGCACAAAAUCUUCACAAGUCGAAUUUGCACAAAUUUUGCACGAGCCAAAUUCUUCAUAGAAUUGUUUCUGCACGUAUAUUGCAAGAGCCUGAUUAUGCUUGAAGUCUUCUGCAUAAACGAGAUUUCGUCCUAUCUUUGCACGGACUAAAUUAUCAAAAUCGUUUUCUUCAUAAACAUCAUAGAUUGGAUCGCCACAAAUCUCUUUGUGGAUCUCAUCAUCUUCAUAAACGUCGUAGAUUGGAUCACCAUAGAUCUCUCGACAGAUUUCAUGGUAUUCUCUCUCAACUAAAGAACUUUCGUCCACGAAAAGAUAGAGAUUGCAACUGCUAAUCAACAUGACAUCCAUUAUCGUUCUUCGAUUAAAAAACCAAAGAGAUGCAGCUCUGAUACCACCUGAUGGAGCGGAAGCAACGAUAAACAGCUCAACCAAGGGGUUAUGGAACCACGUUUGGGACAUGCUUCUUGAUUGAUGAAUCUAAUCAAAUCAAUACAAGGGAUAGAGAAUAUAAUUCUACCAAAAGCCAAAGCUCUUUUUAUUAAUCAAAUCAAAACUGAAUACAACUUUAUGCUUAGAUACCUAUUUAUAAUAAAUCUUUAAAUCUAUGAAACCCUAAUCUUAAUUAAAAUAGGAAAGCCUCUAAAAUAGAGAAAAUACAUAUAAAAGGUAAUUAUCACAAACUAAUAAAUAAUCAAGAUAUUUGGAAUACUUCCAAAUAUCUAGCUGCAUCAUAAACCACAUGAGUAAGAAAUCUUAUUUAAUAGGUGUUUAUAUAUAUAUAUAUAUAUAUAUAUAAAUUAAACUACAGACCAUAUAAAAACACAUACUUUUAUUUUGAUAUUUGCAUUGAAAAACUAUUGAGAAAUUAAUAUUUUAAUUCUGGAAUUUGCAUUCAAUUUUCAAAAAUGAUUUUAAAUUAAUAUAACUAUUAAACAUCCCACAUUAAAAAGUUUGUCAAUGGUUUAAAUGUUGGUUAUAAAAAGACGUUGAUAAUCAUAAAACCAUAUGAUUAGAAAAGUUAUUUAAUAAACAGUCAUAUUAAAAAUAUAUUAGAUAUCUACUUUAAUAUCAUUUAAAUUUAAUUAUAUAUAAUAUACAAUGAAUGAAAUUGAUUGUUUUGAUUUAUUUACCAUAAAAUGAUCGAUAAGAGAGUGUUCGUUUGAUUUAUAUGUGCGCUGUAAUUUAAUUAUAUACGUAAAAUUUACUGAUUUUUUUUUUAAUUAUUCAAUAUAUAUUUAUUAUUUUCGUAUUUCAAAAAAAUAGAAAAACAUAAAAUAAGUAAUAAUACAUAAAUAUAAUUUAUAUUUAAAAUAUUUAUCCCACGUAAGACGCAUAUCUUAACCUAGUAUACACUCUUAUAUGAGUAAGUAGCCCUAAAAUGAUUGUGCAUGCAUAUUUGGAUAAACACCUAGUAAUAUGUAUUAGUCCACGAUUUCUCCUCAAUAUAAACUUAAUAAUAAAAUUUUAUAUCUAAAUUUAUGAUUGCAAUAAAUAUAUUAUUUUCAUUAAUUUUAUAGUAUAUAAUAUGAGAAAUUUUAUUUCCUGUUUCUUAUAAAGACUAUUUAUAUUUAAUUAUAUUGCUAAAAUAAGAUAUUACUCUAAUAUGAUAUAUAUUUUGGAUGAAACAUAUUUAAUAAAUUUAUUGUUUUAACUAAGUUAUGUUGAUUGUUUUUUCAUUUACGUUAUAGAAUAUGAAAUGGUUUUUAUAUUUUUACAAAUCAUAUUAUAUAUAUUUAAAUAAAUAAAAUACAUACUAAACAGUCUGAUAUAAAGAUUACCAUCAAAAAGAUAAUUUUUAUAUUUAUGCACAUAUAUGUUUAUUUUGAAUAUCUGUUGACUAUAACCAAUAGACCUCUGAUACUUUAACAAGCCAAUAAACCUGUUCUUUAUAGUCUCUUCUUAAUUUUAGAAUUUUUUUUUAAGGCAGUGACUCAAAUCCUUUAUUAUUUUUAGCAUUAUAGAUGAAAUCUCUUAUUUUUGAAUGUAAUCAGCAUGAAGACUAUAUCCAUAUACAUCAAAUUAUUAAUAUUACAUAUUUUAAUAGUGUGAUUUACAUGUAUCAUCAUUAAAAUUAAAAUAUAAUUAAAUAAGGACAUAAAUCUUCAUUUUGAUUACUUUCUGUAGAAAUUAUAUUAUUAAGUAAGAUUUUUUCUACAUAAUGUUAAAUGUCAUUAAAUAUUUGAGUCAAUGAAUAAAAAAUAAAAUAAAUUCUGAAUUCAAAAGAGACUAUAAAUACCAGGUCUAUUGGUUUGUUAAGUAUCAGAAGUCUACUGGUUAUAACCAAAAUUAAGAAUGGCAUCAAAGAUAACGUUCUUCUUGCUUCUUGCUCUUGUUUUCGCUUGUAAGUCUCUCUAAUCUCUCUAGCAAGUCUUUCUCUAAGUGUAUUUUGAUUUGAAAUUUAAGAAUGAAUUAUUUGUUUCUGAUUUUUUUUUUUGGUAUCAAUGUGCUUAAUUAGGUGCAACGAUGGUGAGUGGACAGUUUCAGCAUUGCACAACAAUUAGAGAUUGCAAAAUAUAUUUAAUAUGCAAGAUUGGGGAGACAGAACAAUGCUUAGACAAUCAAUGCAAAUGUGGUCCGACACCUCAAAUUAAAGGUCAGCCGUGCAGGAAAACACACGAUUGCGAUGCAACAAUAUGUAAAGAUUUUAUUAAUGUGUGUGUGGAUGGAUUCUGUACUUGUACUCCUCCUUAAUGCAUAAUAUCAUAAACAUAUGCAUAUUUCUUGAUUUUACUAUCGUGGAAAGAUUUUCUCAUUGAUAUUAAUAACAAGUAUUCUGAAAGAGUUAUGUGUAUGUUUAAGAAUAUAGAUUGAAUAAGGUUUUAUUUUAUAUGAAGGAUUUCUCACACAUAUAAGUUAUUUGAUAGGGAAAUUCUCUCAAAUAUAUAUUUAUAAGUUUUUGUCACCAAAAUAGUCUUUAAAAAUGACUAAAAUAGCUUCUUUUGAAAAUUUUAUUUUUAUUUUUAUUAAUUUGAAGCUUUUUUUAUAUAUUUUGGUGUUAUAUAAGUCCAUCAUUAACUAAACACAGAUAUACAUCACUCAGUCAAGUGCAAACUACACAUAUAUAGAUAAGGCAUGGUUCUUUCAAUCUUAAAACUAAUUCUAGAUGGUCCUUACAUUGCUUUCAUCUUAUGAAUUAGUUUGGAUAGAUAAGUAAUUACUAACAAGUGUUGAUUCAUGCAAGGUGAGUAGAUUAGAAUUGAUCUUUGUCGAGUGGUGUGUGACAACAUCAUGUAAUCAGGAUCAGCCUAGUAUGUAAAAUAUUGAUUGGAAGAUUUCUAAUAAAAAUAUACGUGUUCUUGAAAUUAUUUUGUGUGCCUUUUGUUUUGCUGAGUCCUGACUCUACAUAUGUGCAACAUCCAAUGUUUUCUACAUUUUUGUACAGAUUUCCCCAUAAUGGUUUGUUGAGAAGCCUAUAUGACUGGCUUCCACAUGCAGUAAUGAUAUAUUUAGCUUAAGUGAAGAUUAUUUGAUUAAAUAAUAAAAACAUUUGACUAUCAAAAUGUUUACUAAAACUAUAUAUUAUUUCCUAUUAGUUUUCAUCAAAUAUUAUAUUAUUUUUGAAUUUAUUGAUUAGUUUUAAUCUCUCACGUUAAAAUCUAGAACAAUUAAAAUUAUUAAUACUCUUUGAAUUAUUUGGAUUUAUUUUUUAAAUUUGAUGAUUGAUUAUAAAUUAAUAUCUAAUCAACAAAAAUAUAAGAACGUAUUAAAAAAAUAGAUAAUUCAUAGGUUUGUGGUAUCCUUAAUAAUUUUAUUCAUUAAAUCAGAUAAUUAACUAUAAAAUAAUAUAUUAAAAUUCGGCCAAAAAAACAAAAACAAUUAUUUUAAAAUAUAACGUAAUUCAUUUAUCUUUGAUUCCUUAUUAAAAUUUAUUCAUUUAAAUCUGAUAAUCAAUUGUCAAUUAAUAUAAUAAAAAUUGAUGAUUUAUUUUUACUUGUAAAAUAUAUAUUACACAUAAAAAUGAAUCAUAUAUAUACACACACUGUUAUCUGAUUAAGAAAAUAAGAAAAUAAAAAUAAAAAAUAAUUAAUUUGUCUUUUUUAUCUUUAUCAAAAUUUAUCCAUUUAAAUCAUAUAAUUAAUUAAAAAUUAAUAUAAUACAAAUUCAUAAAAAUAGAAUUAUUUUUUACCAAUUAAAAAUAAUUCAUAUAUAUAAAUAUUCUACUAUUAUAUGAUUAAGUAUUCAUAAAGUAUUUGAUAAUAAAUGAAUAAUCAUAUGUUUUUUUUUGUCAUCAAAAAUAAAAUCAUAUGUUUUUGUUAUCCUUAAUAAUAUUUUUUAUAUAAUAUUAUUGAUUAUAAAUUAAUAUGAUAAAAUCUAGAAAUUUUUUACAUCACAAAUAAAAACAUACAUAAAAAUCAAAGAUAAUUCAUAUGUGUUUAUUAUCCUUAAUAAAAGAUAUUUAUUUGAAUCAUAUAAUUGAUUAUAAAUUAAUAUAAUAAAAUUUCCAAAAAUCAAAACGUAUUUUACAAGAAAAAAUAAUUACUGUAUCAUUACAAAAUUAGAUGUAUGACAUCACUUUUUAUCAUGAGAAUGAUUCUUGAGAAUCCACAGAAAAAUAAGCUGACAUAUCUAUAGUUUUCAUUAAACUAAUAAUAAAAUCUUUUUUUUAUCUCAAAAAAUUGUUCUUCAUUUUUUCCUUAAAUAAAAGUUACGAACUAACCUAAUGUGAUUAAAAUAUAUAUGUCAAUUAAUUAUUUUCAUUAAUACGAUUUUAUAACAAUUUGUAUACCCUCUAUUAUUUGUUUAAAUAUUUUCAUUAAAAUAAAUUAUACAAUUAUAUUAACCAUACAAUAGAAAUUUAGAUUUUUUUUGUAUAUGUUGUAUUUUGAAUUUAUAAAAACGAAUAUAAAUUACUAAACUAUUAAAAGUCUCACAUAAAUUUUGUAAUCAAUGGUUUAAAAUUUUUGUUAUAAUAAGAUACAUAUGAUUAUAAACCACAUGAGUAAGAAAUCUUAUUUAAUAGGUGUUUAUAUAUAUAUAUAUAUAUAGAAAUUAAACUACAGAGCAUAUAAAAACACAUACUUUUAUUUUGAUAUUUGCAAUGAAAAACAAUCGAGAACUUAAUAUUUUAAUUCUGGAAUUUGCUUUCAAUUUUUAAAAUGAUUAUAAAUUACUUUAAAUAGCCUGUUUUUAUUUUGAAAAAUUUAAUAUUUAUUUUUACUUUUAAAAUUUUGAAACUUCACCAUCAAAACCCCACCUUUUAACUUAACCUCUACUUCUAGAUUAGUUAACCCUAGCUAUAAAUGUAUAUUUACCUUUCAAUAAAACAUAUUUUGAUCAUUUUUCUCUUUGAAAGCUAUUUUUGUGAAACUAAAGUUAAAAUGACUAUCCUAUGGAAUUUCUCUUUUUGCCUUGUACCUGCCUAACACAAUUUUCGCAAAGUUGAAGUCGGAGUGGACAGUUUCCGAUGAUGUUCCUAGAAAUAGCAAGUCAUCGGACUUUGACUCUCGGAGAAUUAGAUAUGUCGUCAAAUCCUUGGAAAGUUACUGAAGGAUGAUCUUCUUGGUAGAUUGUUGGUAUCAUUUUUCGGGGUAUUUUUCGAGAUCAAAUUUCUGAUGAAACUUAUUAUAAAAAACAUGGGAACUUACAGACACUGUUUUUCUUUACAAAAACAGAGUAUGGAAAAACAACAUAUUCUUUCAUUACACCCAUAAAAAACAACCUAAGUACUCACACAGAUGUGAUAGACUUCUAAGAUGAUAUCAAUUCGUUUUAAGUACUCACACAGAUGCGAUACACAGACGAGUGACUCUCUUGAUUUAUAUAGCUUUGAGCCUUUGAUUGAAUGAGACUAUACACGUUCUUUACCAUUUGUUGUUGGAUUAAUCUUGAAGAAAAAAGAAACUUACAAAACAAGCAAGAGACCUAAUCCUACCAAGAUAUGGAAUUAGAUUAUGUUUAGGAGUUAUCUAAAUGUAAUGACUAUUAGGAUUAGGAAUAAUCAACUCUACAUAUGGAGAUGUCAAAGUGUGACAUAAUUUACAAGAGUUUAGAGAUUGAGAGCUUAUGUUUUGAGCAUAUUUUCUUAAGCUAAUAAUAAGAGAGAUAUUCUUAUUGAUCUUUGAAUUCAAUAUUUGGUAUCAGAGCUAGAGUUUGUGUUCUAUGGGAGAUCUAUCGAUAAUGACAACAUCGAAACCAAAAGAAGGAGAUCCUUCGAUCAAGUGUCCAACGUUAACCUCUAUGAACUACACCGUAUGGGCCAUUAGAAUGAAGAACUUACUUAAGGUGCAUAAAGUCUGGAGCAUCGUAGAAACAACAAUAGAGGAAGAAGAUAAAAACGACAUUGCAGUUGGUUUGUUGUUUCAAGUGAUACCCUAGACCUUGGUGCUGCAAGUCGGGGAGUUUAAUACGGCAAAGAAGGUAUGGGAUGAUAUCAGGGCAUGACAUGUUGGUGAAGAUCAAGUUAAAGAAGCAAAACUACAGACCUUAUUGUCAGAGUUCGACAGACUUACAAUGAAAGAUGCCGAGAAGAUAGAUGAUUUUUCCGGAAAGCUGUCUGAAAUUUUGUCAAAGUCUGCUGCCCUAGGAGAAGAAAUUGAAGAAUCAAAACUGGUCAAGAAAUUUCUUAAGAGUCUCCCUCGAAAGAAAUACAUACACAUCAUAGCAUCACUCAAACAAGUGCUUGAUCUUAAAACCACCAGUUCUGAAGACAUUGUUGGUCGACUAAAGGCGUAUGAAGAAAGAGCUACCAAAGAAGAAGAAGCCCAAGAAGACCAAGGGAAACUCAUGUAUACCAACACGGAUUCCCAAUCCUCUCGUGAGUACUACAAUGAUUACCGAGGAAAAAGAAGACGAGGAGGAAGGUCUUACAAAGGUAGGGGUCGUGGAGGAUAUGCAGUUCAAGCCUUCUCGGAAAUCAAACAAGGAAAACCUUCCCGAAAGCAACAUCGUAUAGAGCUAGCAAAGCACUUGAGCUUGUCCAUGGUGAUUUGUGCGGACCUAUAACACCAAGCACACUUCGUAGGAACAAGUGCGUGUUUGUGCUCAUUGACGACCACACUCUAUGCAUGUGGACCAUAUUUUUGAAGGAGAAGAGCAAUUUCUUUGAGAAGUUCAAGAGGUUUAAGAUGAUGGUAGAACAUGAUUCAAAGCAGAGGGUAUAGAGGAGGAGAGUUUACUUCUCGAGAGUUUAAUGAGUUCUGCGAUCAAGCAGGGAUCAAACGUCACUUAUCAGCUCUGUACGUUGAGGCAGUGAGGCAUUCAACGUACAUAUUGAAUCUUGUGGCUACUAGGGUACUUAAAGACGUGACUCCUUAUGAAGCUUAUCGGGGAAGUAAACCUAAUCUAAGUCACAUGUGAACGUUCUCAUUAGCUACGCGAAAGUGGUGAAACCACACCUGAAGAAACUGGAGGAUAGAUCAUGAGUGCUUUACCUGCUACACACACGUGCGGACCUGUCUUACUGUGUAGGAGUACCUAGCCGGUAUAUGCAUGACCGAAAGAAUCUCAUGGAGCAGCAAUGAAGCAAUGCCUUAGAUACAUACAAGGAACCACGAGCUAUGGUCUGACGUUUGAGAAUACAACGGCAGGAACUACACGUCUUGUUGGCUAUUGUGACUCAAGUCACAAUGUGGAUCAGGAUGAUGGUAGGAGCACGACAGGUCAUGUAUUUUACCUAGGCAAAAGUCCUAUAUCAUUGUGUUCGCAGAAGCAAAAUAAUGUGGCACUAUCUUUCUGUGAAGCAGAGUUCAUGGCCGGUACAGAAGAAGCUCGUCAGGCGAUUUGGUUGCAGGAUUUACUUGGUGAAAUUAGUGAGUUACUAUGCAAGAAGACGGUCAUAGGCAUAGACAAUCAAUCCCCCAUUGCGCUCACGAGAAACCCAGUGUUUUAUGGCUGAUCAAAGCACAUAUAUACUCGAUAUCAUUUUAUUAGAGAAUGUGUGGAGAAAGGUUUGAUAGAAGUCGAGCAUGUUCCCGGGACAGAGCAGAAGGCAGAUAUCUUGAUGAAAGCACUAGGAAGAAUCUAGUUCAAGGAAAUGAGAGAACUCAUUGAAGUUCGAGACUUGUCGAAGAUGGAGUUCAAGCUUAAGGGGGAGAAUGUUAGAUUAAGCUUGAAGAAAAAAGAAAACAAGAGAGAGACCUAAUCCUACCGAGAUAUGGAAUUAGAUUAUGUUUAGGAGUUAUCUAAAUGUAAUGACAUGAAUAUCCAAAAUUAUAAUUUUUUGUGCUCUAUUUUCUAUAUUUUAUUUUAUGAUUUACUUGAAAUAUUUUUUUUGUUACCAUAUUUGUUCUAAUUGUGUAGCAUUCCUAAGUAAUAUGAAACUUUAAAUAUAAAAUUUAGAGUUUAACAUGUUUUAUUAUAUUUUAAUAGUUCACUAGAUUUUGAUCGGCUUUGCGAGCGCAUAAUAUUCUAUGAUGAAAUUUUUUACUAAUAACUUAAUAAAUAUUUUGUUAAUUUGUAAAAACCAAAAUUUUUUAAAAAUAUUUUUGCAUUUAAGUCAGUGUUUUAAAAAAUAUCCAUAUUUAAAAAAUCACUAAAACCCGAGACUAGCUGAUUGAACCGAUGGAUGACCGAUAUGUAAUCCAAUUUGAUUUACAUUAUUAUAGUUUCAUAAUUUGUCACUUUUUAAUCCAAAUUUAAAGUUCAUUUUUUUGAAAUUUUAUAAAAUUAUGACGUUUCUACAAAAUUUGAUAGAGAAAAUGAUAGAUAUCAAAUAAUUAAGAACUAUAAAUAUGUCUUGAACAUAUUACUCCUUUUUAUAUAGCUCAAUUAAUUUUACUGUAGUUGUUUUGUGUAAUUUAUCUUGUUAAUAAUUUGGUUUAUAUUAUAAUAUUGAACAUUUUACAUAACUAUUUUUUUAUUAUAUUAUUGUACAAUGUAUAAAUUUAUAUAUAUAUAUAUAUAUAUUUAUUUUAUGUUAUGGCUAUUAUUUAAUGAUUCUGUUACUUCAAUAAUAUAACCAUUGUUUAGGAAAUAUAAAUAAAAUAAUCCAUUAAUUUAAUUUAUUUAUUAUUUAAUUUUUGAAGUAUUUAAACCUGUAAAAUAAGUUAUAUUUAUUUUUCGUUGUUUUAAAAAAAUUUGAAUUCUUUUCAUUAUUUAAUUUAUCUAAAUAAUUUGAAGAAAAAAAUUUGUUGAAAUUAUAAAAUGAUGAUGACUAAUAUUUUAUAUUGUUUUAACAAAAGAUUAAUUAUAAUGUUGUUUGAAAACAUGGAUAGUAGUAUAAAGAAAGAAGUAUAUUGUUUGGCAAUACGGAUAGUAGUACGAAGAAAUGUAUAUUAGUGAUUUAAUGUAAGUUUAACUAUAAAGUUGAAAGGAAUUUUUAAUUUAAAAACUUACAAAAUAAACGUUAGGUCCAACACACUGUUUUUGUUUUAAUAAGAUAGAUUUGAAGUUAUUUUGUAAAAUUUUAGAUAUAUAUGAUAGAUUUUGACUAAAUUUGAUUGGGUUUGCGUAGUUCGUGUCUUUUUCAAAUCGUAAAUACCUGAACCCGAUUACGGACCCAAAAAUUACGGGUUAUUUAUAUGUAUUUUAAUUAUAGAUCUAAACCGACCUGGAACCGAGGAGAAACUAUCCAAACCGAAAUUUUACAAAUACCUAUUGGGUCCAAAUUUAUAGGACCCAAAGGAUCCAGACUUGAGAGGAGCACCGGCCUGAACUUGACCCUAAGAUCUGAAUGCCCAAGCUUACUAGAGGGUUAAAUACAAAUAGAACAAAAAAAAGUAUAACAAACUGGAAAACCUUAUUAGAAUUUGGACAAAAUUUCAUGUUUACCACUUUUUUUGUAUCAUUAUUCUUGUUUACCACAAUUAAAGAGAUAUUUUCAAAAAUACAUUCUUCAUUAAGAUGCAAAAGACUCUUAUACCCUUGUUCUCUUUAUAUAUAAUAAAUAAUUAUAUAAAUAACUAAAAAACUAAAUAUAUAUAUUAAUAUGUUUUCGAAUUAUACUUUUUCAAAUUCGAAUUUUUAUAAAAAAAAUUUUGAAAUUUUGUUUUUCAAAAUUUCUCUUUGAAAAUCGUAAAUUAUUUUUGAAACUAUUUUAAAAAAAUUUUAAUAUAUUUUUAAGUAUUUAUUUAUAUAUUUAUUAGAAUCCUAAAUUUCAUAUUCCAAAAACCCUUCUCCACCCCUCAACUCUAUAUUUAUAAAUGUUUUUUUGCUCUUUAAAAGUAAGGGUAAAAUGAUUAGUGUAAACAUGAAAAGUUGUAUUAUGAAUAUGGUAUUUUUGGCAAUUUCCCUAGAAUUUGUUCCCAUGUAUUAUUUAUGAUAACAUUUCAACAUUUUAACUAAAAUGACUCAAACUGUAUGUACAAUUAACACUGAAUUUUUUUUAAAAACUUUAUAAGCUUAAAAUAAUUUUUUUUUAAAUAAAGAAAAAUUGAUUACAUCAAAUGUAUAUAAAAAUUCUGUUAUUUUCUGGUUGUAAAUCUAUUUUACGAUAACAUAAACUCUAAGACACAAUUGAAAAAAAACAAAUCAAAAUUAAAAUUUGGAAAGUAUUACACAUUUUCAGCUUAAAUUGGUGUGAAAAACAACUAUCCAAAAUUUAGGUAUAAAUAAUAUGUUACGCAAAAAUUCAUGAGAAAUUCCAUAGAAAGACUUAAAAAAGUUUUUGUCACAAAUAUUAACCUUAAAAAUAAAAUAUGACCAAAAUAGACUUAAAUGUUUUAUCAAAAAAAUUAAAUAUACACUUAUACCCCUAGGAUUAAUUAAUCUAGACAUUAGGUUUUAGAGUUAAGGGGUGUAGUUUAGGGUUUAAGGUUUAAUGUUUAGGGUUUAGGGUUUAUAGUUGAGGAGUGGGGUUUUAAGGAUAGGAUUUCAAAUUUUUUUUUUAAAAACAAUUUUCAAAAUAAAAAGUGCUAUUUUGGUCAUUUUUGUUUUUGAGAUCUAUUUUUGUGACAAAAACUUAUAAGGGUCUAUUUUUUUGCCCAAAAAUCAUAUAUAUAAAUAUUUGGUUUUUAAUUUAACUAAUUCAAAACUCGUAUUCCGCGCAUAAAAAAGCUCUAGUAAAGUUAAAGACUAAUCAAUAAUAGUUUUAUAGAACAAUAUAAUAAUAAAAAGAGCAAUAAUAAUGGUGGAGAAUAAGUUUUCCGUAAAACAAAAUUAGAAAUUGUAUAGUAAAUAUAUUAAAUGUAUCUUUUUAAACAAUUUUAUUUUCUAAGAAAUGAAUGAUUUUAAUUGUAUUUAUUAAACUUUGAUUAGAUAAAAGUUGUGGGAAAGGGUCAAUCACAAAAAUAAUAUAUUUAUAUUAAAAUUUAAAUAUCUAAAUGUCUAAACUAUCAAAGUUAUUGAAGGAAGUUUCACAAGCUAAGCUCAUUCAUAUACCAUAGACGCAGAAUUUAAGGACGGACAGUCUCGCACACAGUGUAAGAAAUCAAUCGUAUUUUGCUGUCCAUAUGGACGCGAAGUUACUAGUUUGGUUUAGAGAGUCUAUAUGAGUUUAUUUUUAAGUUGCUGACAAAAAAAAAUGUCUAAAUGUGACAUCAUUUUGAAACAUAAUGAGUGAUAAAGAAAAUAUUUUAGUGGAUACAUGUAUUAAUAAUUAAAAAAAACAUUAGUUUUAUUUAGCAAAUUUACCUAUAAAUUGCUGGCAGCAGAAAAAAAUACUAUACAUGGAAUGCGUUCAAAUCUAAAGUGUGGAUCAAUUUGAGUUUUUAAAAAAAUUUAGAUAGUUCUAUAAGAAUUAGAGAUAUGCUUUUGGUUAAAUCAUUUUAGAGUUUCACCUAAAAUCAUGUGAUUUGAUUUUUUUUUAACUUACAAACUUUAUCCAAAUACUCUAAAAUCAAUAGUAAACUUUGGAAAUUCACAACUUAAAAUAUUGUCAAUAACACUCAAUUUCAUAAUACUUUAUACCCCAUCAGUUUUAUAUUAAGUAUCGUUUUAAUUUUUAAAUUUUGUUUCAUUAUAAGAGUCGUUUUAUAAUAUUAAUGCAAAUAUUAGAUGUUUUUUCCAGUUUUUUUCUUAUUCUUAUCUCGUUAAUUAAUAAAGCCAAACAAAAUCAUGUUUUAAUUAAGGAUAAAACAGAAAAUUUUAGCAUUUUUUUUUUAAUUUGUGUGCAAAAACCUUAAAUGAUACUUUUAAUGAAAUGGAUAGUGUAAAAUGUCAAUUUCAAUAACUAUAAAUUUAAAUAAUUUUGUAAUUAAUAUUUGAAUAACAAUCAAUUUAUCAUUUUAAUCGUACAGGUUACUUUUCUGAAAACAAAAAUCAUAAUCCAGGCUUCUUAGCCAACGUGUACCAUCUCUCACGUCAUUUGAACGGACGAAAGGAAAAGGUCAAACCUCAUUUACACUUAUAUGUGAGUCAGUAGAAGAUUCUUCUUCGGUUGACAAAAAAAAAAGUAGAAGACAUAAAAGAUUGUUCAAUUAUUACAACGUAAUCAGAUUAGUCAGGUCAUAAACAUGCACCGUAGUCUUUAUAUUGAUUAGUAGGCCUGGGCAUUCGGUGGCCCAUUCGGGUUUCGGGUCGGGUGCAAUCGGGUGUCGGGUUUUCGGUUCUCCCAUAAACAGCUCCAUUCGGAUCUUUUAAAAGUUCGGAUCGGUUUCGGUGUGGUUUUUAUCGGGUUCGGUGCGGGUUUUGCACCAUACCAAAGAACCAGUUGUACCCGAUUAACACUUCGGGUGUCGGAUCUUAAUCGGGUUUUGGGUUAAGAAACACUAAAUUGUACUAGGUUUAACACUAAUUACUUGCUAAAAAGAGCUAAGACAUUCUCUUUGUAGUCUUGUGCAUCAAGAAAGGUUCAAACGAGCUAAAUAGAAACUAAGACAAUCGGGUGUCGGGUUUUCGGUUCUCCCAUAAACAGCUUCAUUACCAAUCUGUUGUAGAUUCGUUUUCUGACCAAUUAAGAACGACUGGUGUUCUUUGCAAAUUUGCAGAUGCUGCUUCAGGUUCGACGUUCCUGACUUGGAUGCACAUGAAAAGAUCUUGUGGCAAUGGUGACAUACACACUUGUCUCGGGUCUCUUUGGUUCUUGUGAAAUGCUCCCACACACGAGACCUUGGCACAACCAACUUCUUCACCUUAUUCGCCUGAGAGGAUGAUCCAGAUGCGGCAUUCGCAUUAGCACUUGUCUCUUGGUACUCUUGGUCUUCACAUUGCAUAUCAACCUCGGUUUUUUGGUUAUCGAAAGCUGAGGAUGUCAUCUGCAAAAAAAAAAAAUUAUUAGCUUUACAGAUGAGAUUGAAAACAAUGGAAGAAGUGAAGAAUUAAUAUUAGUCUUUUGCGGUUAACAUAUAUCAAAAUCAUAAACGAUGAAGAACUAAGAUCAUAAACGAUGAAGUGAAGAAGUGAAGUGAAGAACUAAUAUUGAAGAACUAACAAGAAGAACUAACGAUGAAGAACUAAGAUAAAAGAACUAACAUCACAAGGCUUAAUACUUAUUACACAAACUACAAUAAGAAUAAUAAGGUACAAAACGCUUUAAGACUCAUCAAAAUCAUAAACGACAACUCAAGCUUCAUAUCUAAGUCUUUCAAACUUAAGACUAAAAAGCACAAGCUUUGAACCUGAAUCUAAAAUUGAAAAGAAAGAUACAUGAUUUAAAGAAAACUAAGUACCUCGGAUUGAUUACUUUCUGCUUAAAGAGGUGGAAUAGCUUGUGAAGUCUAACGAUACGCAUCAACAUAUAUACGAGAUGGACAAAGGGUUCCAUCGAUUUUUCGGGUUAUGGAAAGGAUUUCGGAAAGAAUAUACGGAAGUUGAGAUUUCGGAAAGGUUUGGUUGUGAUUUUCGCAAAGGAUCUUGCGUAUCUCGGUGUAAUCGAAAGAGGGAAACAAAAGGGGGCUAGGGUUGUGUCUGAAUGUCUCGAUGAUCUUCGGGUUUCGGAAGUAAUCAAAUGGUUCUCGGUUUUCAACCGAACCGAACCGACCACCAUUACACCACGAAAACUCAAACCGUUUGAUUUAUUUAGAAGAUCCGAUACCGAACCAAACCGGUUUUAUCGGAUCGGUUUCAAUGCGGUUGUUCGGUUCUCGGGUUAUCUGCCCAGGCCUAUUGAUUAGAAAGUGGCUAUAAAAAUUUAGCAAUUAUUACAACGUAAUCAGAUUAGUCAGGUCAUAAACAUGCACCGUAGUCUUUAUAUUGAUUAGAUAGUGGCUUAUAAAAUUUAGCUGUUAAACUUCGAAUAGUGACCAUUGUCCCGCUCCGCCCCGUAGUUAACAGUAACAAAAAUCUCUAUAUAUACUAUAUAUCUAUAUGUUUUUAUAACUGUUAAAACCGCACCGCAGUUGAACCGCUUGUCCCGCACCACUCAAACCGCAAUCACCAUUCAGAGCCAUAAAUAAAGAUUUUUGUUGUAGUUUUUUUUUGUCAGCGAUUUUUGCUGUAGUUAAAUUGGAUAUAUUCGGAAGUUUUUGAUUAUACAUAUUUUAAAAUCAUUUAUGCGAGAUAUAUAUAUAUAUAUACAUAAUUAUUUUCAAUUAAAAUCAUUUAUAUUACUAAAUAAGUCAUCUAUUAUCAAAAUUUACUAUCAUUUUACGUAAUAAAUAAAUAACAGUUAUAUUAUUUUAAAGUAUUCAAAAGUAAAUAAAAAUUAUUAUCGUUAUAGUAAAAUUAAUAUCUAAACAAUAAUAAAUUUAAUCUAAUAUUGUUUAAUUUAUUUGAUAUUAUAAAUAAUUUUCUCAAUUUUAUAGAUUCUACAGCAUAAAUAAUAAAGAUGUAAAUUGUUUACUUAUAUAAAAAAAGUUUUCUUUAACUUUUUUUAUUUACCUUUAAAAUAAAUCUAGAUUAUGAUUGGUAAAAAUAAAUAGAAAUUUGAUAUAAACUUUAAAUUUUAAACUAGAGCUAUUUAUAAUUAGCAAAAAUUAUUGAUUAAAAAAAUUAAAUAAAAAUUAUUAUGAGAUGGUGAAGAUGCUUUCAGAAUCAGAAGAAUGACCAGUUUUUCAAGUUAUUUGGAAGACAAAGAUUUUGAAGAUGAGUUUCAACUAGGGGUAGGCACUUCGGUUAUUUUUUCGGUUCGGUUUGGUUAGUUUGGUUCUAGUAUUUUUCCAAUUGAAAUAAACCAUAGUUAGUUUGGUUCGAUUCGGUUUGUGUUUCGGAAAAGUAUCGAAAACAUUUGCGACGAAGAAAACUCGGGAAUAGAUGUAGCAUCGUGCACAUUAAAAGGAACACUUUCCUCCCGAUGGUUAGCUAGAUCCACCUCUGGUUGACCAAUUCAUUCAGAAACUAAUGUGUCAUGAGAAUCCUCUCAAAAAACUUAUGAAAAACAUUCUACGACUAGAUCGUAAUGAAAUAAACUUCAGUAACACUCCAUGAGUAACUCCAAGAAAUUGUCACCUAAGAUUGAAAUCAUUGCAGAAACUUUUUCUCGUAAAACCCGCAGAAACAACACUACUUUGACAUAUGAGCCGGUCCUAGAAUUUAAAAGACUAGAAGAAAAAAAAAAAGAAAAAUAUGGCCACUUUUUAAAGAAAGAAAUAGAGAUAAAAAAUAAAAAGUAAUAGCUGCCAUUAGCCGUCGAACCCGUGCUCUAUAGAUAAUGUAGACAUACGAGUUUACCACUGAGCUACAGAGAAUAUUUAUAAAAUGUGGCCGAAACUAAUAAGUAAAAUAAUCGGCCGCAAGCGGGAGCUUCAUCCGCUUCUACCAAAGGCCGGCACAAGACAUAUGUAUACAUAUCACCUAUUUACAACCUUCGUAAAACCGGUUCCCAUUAUUUACACGAAAAAUCCUUCGUACAAUCAUAUCAAGUCUUACGAAGAAAAUUUCUAAAGUUAACAUAACAAGCUUUAUGAAGAAAUAUGUUUUGUAUAGCAAACGCAAACCUGUAAGAUCUGAUUUUCGAUGAUCAAUCUAAACUUUAUCUUUUCGCAUUACGAUCUAAUAGAUCUCCUUUUUUAGCCCUGCGACUCGCCAGCUUCUGCCUUUCUUUUCCCUCGGUCACAUCCGAGAAGGCAGUCAUCCCGCCGCUGACACCAUACUGGUUAUGUAGUAAACCUCUUGGGCGUUGUCUUCCUAAGACAAAAAGACCCGAUUUUCAUAAGACUAUAGGUCACAUUAUACGAAAUAUUCGUCGUAUAACUGAAACCCAGAGCAGAGAAUAAUUUUCUACGACUAUCGGCCAUAUUAGCACAGAUAACUCUGGAAAACUUAGCCUAUCAAUCUCGACAAGCGCUCUUUGGCCCUCAGUCAAUUACGCCUUCCAGUAAAGAUCCAAACAAGAUAUUGCCAUCCCCUUUAAAGACUAUCGUAAACUAACAUGACCUUAAACGUUAAAGUACCAUGGUCUAAUCCUUGACCUACAACAUCCUUGGCUAUCUGAGUGAACACAUCCUUCACGCCAAGCCAAACUAUUUGAGAAACCAUCGCUCCAUCACUUAACGGCUAAACGACAAUCUACGAUUUGUCUAAAAACGUCGCGUGACUAUUAAGAGAAUAAUUAUCGUAUCACCCACAGUCGGAAAUCAUAUGAUAAAUUCUUCGUAACGAAACUCAGUCCUAACAACCAAACGGUUAACGGAAAAUCUAACUUUUCGAAAAUUGACCAAGUUCAAUACGCUCCACAAUUCACUUUAAGCCUGCAACGUUUUACCCAUAAUACGGGGCAUGUAAGAAAAAAUUCGAAACAAAGCUUCUAGAGCUAUACGAAACAUCAUCAAAAAUGCACAAAAUAGAUCUCGGAACGCCAACACUUCACAAAGCACUAUGAAGGAAAACACUUCCUCUUAUGGACAAAUUUACGCGACACCUCAGUCCUAAUUCCUCGAUCGCAAAUCAAAUUAUUAGCAUCCAAACAGGAACAACAAUUUUGGCUGCGAACAUCCAUAGUCAAACUAGAAUGUUUCUCAAACACAGGGCUAAGAUUAAACCUUUGCAACAUCACGAAACAUCUUCAAGCCCGCGAAUAUUUCAAGCACGAAACGCGGCAAACGAAAGAAUAACAAAUCUUCAGCAUCGCGAGACGUCGUCGCAGACGCCUGAAGAUUCAUUCUUCGACAAAAUUUCCUUCCUCAAUAAAAACACCUUCUUGGAAGACCAGACAGUCAUACGAACUAACAUCUUCUCAAAACAUAUCUUUCGCGAAGACUCAAAAUGGUAAUUUUUACCAUUAAGUUUGUUGCUGAUCACAACAAACUCUUAAUGUCCUAAACAAACUUAGCCAUCUCAUAGAGAUAACUCUCGUACAUCCGACACAAGGCUAAUAGCGCUAUAAAAGAAACCCAAAAUUUUCGGUCAACACUUCCAUGAGGCUUAAAAAUUGUCCUUGGAGAGAUGCUCGGUCCCAACCAUACAAGUCGUAUAAGCCAAGAACCUAUCGCGGACUUUAAAUCGGUAUGGAAUCAUGAUGAAAUUGAAAUGGGAUAUGUAAGUCAAAUUAGUCAUCGCACCCUCUAAAACCAAGAGUAAACCUAGGUCUUGCCCUAAACCCAGCGCACUGGUCUGUAACAUCUCUAGGCAUAGUUUCAAACACCUACGAGAUCCCAAAAUUUGUCUCUUUUCCAAUAUUCGAGCGUAUUCAGAAAUCCCGCAAGUUUACACACUGCAGAAAACUCUCGAAACAGAUCACAGAUAUAGCAGUUCACACAGAGUUAGAUUACGAGAUGACAACUCGUAGUCUUUCUUCUACACCUAUAUAAAAUUCCAUCGGCAGCAACACGCCUGAUAACCUCUACAUAUAAACUAGACCGUAAAGGUCUCGCUGGAAAACUAGUCAUAAGAACCUUAACUCCAAGACGAACUAUGAAAGGCUUGAUCCCUUCAACAAGGGUACGUAGGCAGCCGUCAUAAGGCGCAUCCCCAAUCUUAUCGCGUUCUACUUUUAGAAGAGCGAGAAGACCACUUACCACGGACCUUUUCAACCAUUAAUUCCGCCUAACUCACCUGACUCGCCUAACUUGCCAAGCCACUCGCUAGAACCUCACGCUAGAAGAUCAUGGUUCUAGCGAGCUAGAGGGCUAACUAAUGGGGUCAAAAUCGGUCAUGACGGAAUGAAUGUCUGAAAGUCCGUAAAACUCAGCAUGAACAUUUUUCCGAAAAGUAAUUUUCGUAAAGAAAUCUUUACAAAGAGCCUUGCGGUAAAAUCUUAUUUGAAUCUCGGUCGAACCAAAUACAGAUUAUCCCAAGACAACCGACACGUAUCCGACUGGCCAUGGACGAGCUCAAGCAAGAUAAUCGGACCGCGGACAAGCCAAGCUCGAUCAAUACGCAGUGAUCAAGCAUGCACACGGCUCGGCCGCUACGUAGAGACCGAGCUCGAGCCGCUCGAGCUCACGUAGCGACCGAGUUAGGAACCAAGCUUGGUCACUACCUAGUGACAGAGCACAUGCACAUUUCGAUCGUUACGAAGCGAUCGAGCUUUCCCAAAACAUCGAUACGACGCGAAUCCAUGCAUUUCGUCUACUCUUUAAUGCUAUCUCCCGAAGACCGUAGCUGAACCAUUUCAUGUUUCUCGUUAUUCGAAGUCAUCAAUCAAACUUUACGAUAAACACUGCAGAAAGUUUGUUUUUAUCAAAGAAACCGUAAUAAACGUUUCGAGUCAAAAGACGGUCCAAAGAGACCUACGACGUGACUCGAAGUCCACUUACGAUUUCUUAACCAAAAGUCCAUGAGCCGUAGGAUGGUUUAUGCUUGGUUCGGAAAAAAAGAUAAAUGUCAAGUUUACGCGGAUAAAUAUGAAGUUUUCGAAUAUAAUCACGAAGAUCGGAAAAGACGGAAUAUCUCUAUUUUUGAGCUAUUACGGCUUAAGGGCAGAAAGGGAAAAAGCGUAAACCGGCCUAGGAGUGAGUAUAUAAGGAGUUCUAGGCGAGAGGCAGAUGGGAGGAUUUUCUUAGAACAAACUUAGCACUUAGAGCAAUUAAGCAACUUUUCGUUUUUGUUAUUUCGAGCUGCGACUCAAUUAGGUUUAGCCGCCUUAAGGUUUUUAGAACUAGGAAUCUCACCGACAGCUCUCGAGCCCAGGCAAAUACCUUGUUGUAAACGCUCAUAGGCAAAUUUGGAAUAAGACUUCUCUUUGCUCUCUUUUUAUGAUUCCUUAUAGUUUAUCGUUGUUAUCUCGUGUUCUGAUUGCUUGGCGUGUGGUAUUAGCAGAUAUCUGGGACCUCUGGGAAAUAAGGGUUUGCCUAGUUUCCUAAUUUAAACGGAAAUCGACAGUGCGAAUUUCGGUUCCCACAUUCGCCGACAGAUCAGUCAAGUCACCGGUGGGUAUUCUGGAAGAUCUCCAUGUCCGACAGAUUUUGUGGUUCUGGAGGUUGAAGAGGAACCUAGAGAUCCACUCAUCCUGGGUCGUCCUUUCUUUUGCACAGCUGGUGCGAUCAUUGAUGUUCGACAAGGAAUGAUUGACCUUCACCUAGGGGACAUUGCGAUGAAGUUUGAGAUGAACAAAUUGCUGAAGAAACAGAUGCUGGAUGCGCAGACCUACACAGUUGAGGACGAAGAUCAAGCACUAAUUUCUCAAGAAGGGAUGAUUGAGGAAAUCUUGACCGAUGAUCCACUCAAAUUAUCCCUGUUCCGUUCUGAGACCGAGCAUAACGUCAUGAGCGUAGACACGGAUGGCUACAACAAGAUGCUUGACUUUGCCAAAAGCAUGGAAAAGCUUGUCACCUAUCUAAGUCUGGAGGAGAAAAACGAGAGCAAUCAGAGCAGUGCAGCUGGAGCAGCCACUUCGAAAAGCGCUACUUAGCCGAAUAUGAAACUCGACGAUCCGUGGAACGAUCUGAAAGCUUCAAAGAUCGAGCUCAAAUCCCUCCCUACGGGGCUCAGGUACGCAUUAUUGGGGCCAAAUUCCACUUAUCAUGUUAUUGUAAACUCAUAACUGAACAAUGUGGAAACAGCUAGACUUUUUUUUGAACUAAGAAAGUACCAUAAGGCAUUAGGUUAUUUUCUAACUGACAUUCAUGGCAUUUCACCUGAUCUUUGCAUGCGUAGGAUACACCUAGAAGAUGAAUCGAUGACUUCUAUAGAACAUCAGAGGAGGUUAAAAUUAGUUUUUGGUAAGUUGUAAACUUAUAAGAAUAAAGUGUAGACUGGUCCUCUAGAUUGAAUCUCAAAUACUACAAUUACCAUUGUUAACUUGACAGUAGGAAAUGUUCAGUUUUAGUUUAUCAAUUUAACAUUCAUGUUUACAUAUAUAAGAAUAUAAAGAUACAAACUUUUCUAUUUUGUUAAUCAAAUAUUUUAAUGAUUACAUAGUCGGUUAGAAGAAUAUAUGUUAAUAAAUGAAAAAUGGAAAAUACGUGGUAUGGUAUUAGAAUUUUAGUAUAUUGGUAUUACUAGUAUUUUUAGUUUAAAUAAUUACAAAAAUACAUUCGGUUUCUCGGUUCGGUUCGAUUUAAAACCGAACCAUUCGGGUUGGGAAAAUCUUCAACCGAAUGGUUUGAAAUAGAAUUGGAUUCGGUUUUAAUCAGUUUCGGUUCAGUUUGACUCGGUUCGGUUCGCUUUUUUUGCCCACCCCUAGAUUCAAUAGCUAAGAUCUCAUUCAUAUACCACAAACGCAAAAUUUAAAAGCGGACAGCAACUAUCGUUUGUUGUUUAUAUGAAUACGAAAUUAACUUUUUAAUUUACAAAAUUUAUAUGAAUAUGUUUAAAUUGCCGAUAAAAAAAGAUAAAAUAAAUAAAUAAGGAUAAAGAACCGAGGUAAAUUUGAACCAAUCACCCAUUAUGUUCGACAGAAAGUCUUCUCGUAAUUAUGACUCACAACGACAUUAGACGCGGACACCCAACUUUCUUUACAAAAAAAAUUCAAACACCUAAUUAUCGUAUGCAUUCAAAUCCAUGUCUAUAACAUGAACGUUUAAUUUACGGUCGAAAAAAAAAAAAUUCUGUGAAGACCAUAUCUUGUUUACAGAAAAAAAAACCCUGGUUAUUUAACUAACGGAUAAAGCGAUUGAAUUUGCUGAUUUUUGAAAUAUAUUUAUGUUUUUAAUUAUUAUUUUAUUUUUUUAACGUUUGAUUAAUUAUGCUAUUACAACGUUGAAAAAUAUUACAUAGACGAUUUUACAGCCGACAGUUCUACCACCAUAUGAAAAUACGCCUGACUGUAUUACUCCGAACCGUCCUAUGAUAUACAUAUUCGAUGGUAUGCCAUGCACCAUGCUGAAGACCUCAUAUAAUCAUUUUUCUCUCUAAUCUACAUAAUUUGUGGUUUUUUGGGAUUUGAAUCCCAAACCUUUUAAUGUAAAAACAUUAAUGAAUCUUUAAUCAAACCACUAGAAUAAAGAAGCUUCCACUAUUAUUAUUUUUUUAUAGAGAGCAUUUAUGUUUUUAAUUGAAUUGUAAAUACUUCCAAAUUUGAAGCUGCAAUCUUCUCGGUAUUUUCGAUCAUUGAAAAUCAACCAAUACAUAUUUUCUCAGUCUUUGGAAGUAAACCAAUACUCGUUUUCUCAUCUCACUCUAUAUAACGAGUACUAUACCAUAACGAAUUAACAAGUAAGAAAAGGAAAAAAAAAGUUUUUAUCAUUUUAAAAAUGGGGAAAUCCUUUGCUUUGGUGAUCAUUCUCUUAUCUUUUCUUCUUCUUCUUGUCCUUCAAAACCUCGAAGUCGUUAACGCCGUCGGGUGUACCGGAAGCUUUUACAACGAAAACAGCACUUACGUUCAGAAUCGCGACGAUAUAUUCUCUACUCUUCCUGAUAAAGUAAUCGCCAACGGUGGAUUCUACAACUCUUCACUCGGCAACAGUCCCAACAGAGUUUACGCUCUUGUCCUCU